UUAGUUUGAAAACCACCUUCCCUUGUCCAUCCACUUUGACAGCAGUAGCAUUCCCUAUGAACAAAGAUUCUCCUUCGUUGAGUGGUUGGUAUGAAGAGAACAUCUCUUUUGUAGAACAAACAUGCCUUGUAGCACCAGUAUCCAUCCACCAAUCAGUUGAAUUAGUAACCAAGUUUGCUUCAACAGCAACCACACCAAUGAAUUGAUUUUCAGUUUCAGCAAGGUUGGCUUGGUUGGAAUUUCCAGAACCUCCAGCACCUCCUUGAUCUUUCCGAAGGCGACACUCUUUAGCUCUAUGCCCUGGUUUGCCACACACCCAACUGUCACAUCCCGACCCUUAUAUUUUUACCUUAUUUACUAGCUUGAUUAUAAUAAGAAUUUUACCGUCUCCGUCAUUGAGUUAAUAGUUUAAUUGGUCUCUAGAGGAGUUUCGGGGACGAUUAUGUGCAGAGGAUUAUUCGUAGGAGAAAGUUACGACGACGGUAAAAAUAGUAAAUUUUAGCUAGUAAAAUGUAAUUUUUAUUCGGGUAUUAUUUUUCGGGGUGUUUUAUUUUUGGAGUUGGGUUGUUUAAAGGUGUGGACCGGGUUUGGAGAGGCCCAAACCCAUCUCUCUUUCUCUCUCUUUCUUCUCUCUCUCUCUCCCCCGAUUUCCUCCCGAGCCCCUCCCUCGCCGGAACUUCUUGCCGUCCGUACGCCGCCAUCCGGCCACCAUCUGCCGUCGCUCCGGUCCCAAACUGACUGCCUCCGACCCAACUUCCAUUCUAGGCCGGUGAGAGGAGCCCUAGCGCCACCGUGAGAGAGCGAUGCCACCCGAAAGGUUUGACUGCCUAGAGCUUCCGGUCGCCGGAACUCCCUCCUCCGGCCACCAAAACCGGUGAUCCUUGGCUCGUUUUGUAGCCCUCCUCCCGUGCAGCAACCCCUCCAAUCAGCUCACUCCCUCUUGAGCUAGGUAAGGAGAAAUGUGGAGUUGAAAUUUCUAGGGCUUUUAGGUGUUUGUGUUCGAUUGCCCUAGUUAGGCUUGGAUUUUGGGUUUGUGCUGGUCAGAAAAGUUGUAGAGCAUGAUGAGGAGAUUAUUCUGUCAAAAUUUCAUAGGUUUUGGAGGUCGCCGGAAUUGGCAUCCGGCCGCCGCCGCCGCCGCCGGUUGGGAGAUUUUAAUGUUGUUAAAUUUGGAAUAUUAAGGGGAGUUUAUUGAAGUGAGUUAUGGAAUUUUUGGAUGAGUUUUGGAUAGGUUUAUGAAUUUCCGAGUUAGUAUUUUGGGCGGUUAAUUUAUGUAGAAUCCGGCCGUUGGAUUAAAGUUGUUUAAACUGUGGGAUGGUGUAGUUACGGCUGCUGGUUCUAGGGUUGAAAUGUGGACCAUUUCGAAGUUAGGCAAUGAUGAGCGUGUUAAUGGCUCUCGGUUAAUUUCUGCCUAUUUUGUGUAAAUAUUGGAAUUUCGGCUGGGAACUUAAUAUUAUAUUUGGAACAGGUCGUGCGGAGGCUCGAGCUGACGAGGCCCCAGAUCGACAUCAGGCUUAGGCCUAAUUUGUGAGUAGACUUUUGUUUUAAAUAAUGUGCAUGCGAAAUAAUUUAUGUUGUUGGAGAAUAACCGAAAUUGAGAAUUUCAGUGAGUAUAUAUAUAUAUAUAUAUCCAUAUGUGGAUGAUUAUGAGAAUAAUAUGUAUAUGAGAGAAUGCUAGCUAGCUAUACGUGCUUUUCCACCAUACUGAGGUAAAAUUUCAUUAUGGUGCGACGUGAGUGUUAGACGCAAUCGUCGUAGCCCUAUAUAAAAAUAAUAAUUUAUAUAGAGGAUAUGCGCGUAUAUUUAUACACCGUCUUUUCCACCAUAAUGAGGUAAAAUGCCAUUAUGGUGCGACGUGAGCGUUAGACGCAAGCGUCGUAGCCUUGUGUAAUUUUCUUAUUUUGUUUUUUGUUGUUUACAAAGAAAAUUCAUACAAGGGAUAUGACGAGUGUAAUACAUACAUAUUUAUUUUAGCCUGAGAGGCUGUAUUUUAUUGAGCGUUGGAGACUGGCCGGAGCUAGUCAUGAAAUUUUUAGUUUUCGUGUUGAGUGUUUUGAGCUGUCGCAUGCAGCAUAUUUUUCUAUGGAAAAGUAAAAUUGGGAAAGCAUAAAGAAUUAUUUCAUUUAUUUUAUCUUUGUCUACUCACUCUAACGUGUUCAAAUGUUUCCCCUGGGCCCUUCGUUUUAAAAUGCCCAGUCUGCAGAGUUCGGGUUGGACCUAGUAGGAGACGAGGCAUAGUCACCCGCAUUUCCACCACUUUUCAUCAGUAGGUUACCUGUUUAACCUACCUGUGGUUUCUUUUUCCGCUAGUGUUUAGUAGCUAUGAAUACUUGGGUUUAAUGUAUAUUAUUUCAGUUGUGGGUGAAGACUUGUUGACGUCUUAGAAUAUUUGUUGGAGGAUUUAUGUUAUCUUUUGGAUAAUUAUAUUUGAUGUUUGGAUAAUGUUGUGUUGUUGGUGGUAGUUGUAUUUGGGGAGCACGUAGGCUCCAGGAGUUAAGGUUGGAUUAAAAUUUUUGGAAGUGUUUGCAGGUUUUCUUUAGGAAGGGUUGUCCAUUUUCAAGGGAGGUUAUGCCGAUUUUUCGGUAAUAUCUUUCUUGGAGGUGGUCCCCGCAUGUUUUACUCCGGGUUUCAGGGUGAAAUUCAGGGUGAGUCGUGUUACCCAACAGCCUCCCAUUUGUGGCUUCUUGAAAACCUUGGUCUUUUGUGGGGCAAGAGGAUUCUUUCCAGCAACAAAAGUUGGCUUGGCAGCAGCAACAGACUUGCCUUUGUUUUUUUGAAACUUGGCCUUUGAUGGACUCCCUCCAACCAUAUUAGCAGUUGGCUCCAAGGAAAUAGCAUCAGCCUUUUCAUUCUUUCGGUUAUCCUCUUCAACUAGAAGUUUAAGAACCAAUUGCUCAAAAUUCAUAUCCUCAGUUAGAUGUUUCAGAUAAAUUUUGAAAUCUUUCCAUGAAGGUGGUAACUUUUCAAUAAUAGCACCAACAAGGAAAUUUGGGUUAAGACCCAUACCUUCAACUUCCAACUCAUGAACAAUGACUUGGAGUUCCUCCACUUGCUUGACAACAGACUUGGCAUCGCUCAUCUUGAAAUUCAGAAACUUGCCAAUGACAAACUUCUUUGAACAAGCAACCUCAGUCUUGUACUUGUUCUUUAAUGACUGCCACAAUUCCCUUGCUGUUUUGAAUGUAGAGUAAAUGUCAUACAGAGAGUCAUCCAAGGCAUUAAGAAUGUAGUUUCUACAUAGAAACUCAUUAGUUUUCCAAGUGUCCAUGGCCUUCAAAUUAUCAGCCUUUUCAGCCUCUGUUGGAGCAUUCUCUCCUUCUCCUUCUGGCAGAGCCUUAGGAGCCUCAGCAGUCAGAACUUUCGCCACAUGAAGGGUCGUCAAAUAGAACAACAUCUUCUGUUGCCAGCGUUUGAAAUUAGAACCCUUGAAUUUCUUAGGUUUCUCGACAUGAUUUUUCAUCACCGAAGAUACAGAUUGAUCCAUCUCUACAAAAUUAGAGAAUUUUAUGUCUUAAAUUUUUGGUCUAUCAUUAUGAUGUUGAAGGUAUACACAAGAACACAAUCAUGGAAUCUGCUAAAGCAGAAUUCUUUGAGCAUGUUUUUCCCUACAAGGACAAGGAUAAAGAUACAUCCAAUCCAAGGAAAAGAACGUUACAUCAAGAUGAGUUAAACCAUGAUGCUGAAACUGAAUGAUAGACCAAAAAUCUAUGCAGAAUCAAAAAUCUCUUGGUUUGACAAAAGACCUUAAUAGAGAGCAUGUCGUGUUUACAUCGAGGGGAAUAGGCUUAAAGCCAAUACAAUGAGUCAUUACGUGGCGGAAACCUAACCUAGCAACAUUGGAGAUCCCAUGGUCUAGGUUCAAUAGGCAAACUAGUUGGGGAAGACUCAAAGAGCAUACACACUUAUGCUCAUUCCUAUGAUGAACCCAUGUGUAUAAUCCGUUGAUGUAUAAGAGGUGAAUAUCCAUUUAUUCUUAAUAAUGCUAAUAGCCUUCUUGGUGGGAUAGUACGAACUAUUCACGAGUUCUAAGCCAAAAUCGAACAAUUGCAUCUGUCCAUACAGUUGUAACUGUUCUCCAACAGUUAUGUUGGUCGUAUUCGAUUUUUAACUUCCAAAAAUAUUCCAGAAAUUAAAACAGAUUUUAAUCAACUAGAGCCCCAAGGCCAAGGCCCAUCUUUUGACUAUAUAUAUAUAUAUAUAUAUAUAUAACUAAACCCCACCAAACCCAAUCAAGGCUGUACAUCAACCACUUAGUUUCAAGGAGAGUACCUUAUAAGGACUACCACCUUUGGUUCUUCUUCCAUGUGGGAUACAUCCCACACAAGACCCCUCAAAACUUCCCAAGUGGAACUAUGAUGAGUCUAGCACAGGCCAAGCUCCAAGGGAGAACAGUGAGGUCAUCCUCUACUAAGAUGUUCUCUUUAUUUCUUGUGAUUAGCAGUUUUUUUUUAUUAUUGCGCGCAAGAGUUCAUAGGAGAAUCAGAGUUUUGUCGAAGUUAAAAGUGGAUUAUAUCUUGUAAAUAGUUUGCCUAUUGCUUUCUUCACUGGGUAUGUGUUUUUCUUCUUAAUCUCGGGUUUUAUUUUUGAGUUUUGGGUAUUUUUUAAUCACCAAUUUGGGCGAUCCAUGGAUAUGUGUUUAUCAUACUCCUUAGUUCUUCAAUCUCUUUUCCUGCUUUAAUCAAAUUUGAUGUGAUUGACUGCUAGUUUGUAUUUGUUUCGAGGAUAUGAGACUUGUUCUGGGUUGUGUUUGAGAUUAUAGAUUCAUAAUUACUCUAGGGUUAGUCCAUAUUGUGUAGCUGAAAAUGGGCUGUCAUUGCCUUUAAAUGAUGCAAAGUAAAGAGCUUCUCAGCUUGAAAAAGAAGAAGAAGUAAAUGUAUGUUAAACAAAAGAGCUUCUCAGAAGGCAUCCAUGUGAGUCUUAUGUUUGUCAUGUCCUUUGGAAAGUUGUACAUCAUUGUUUAAGGUCUCUGGACUUUAGUUCUAGUUGAUAAUAGAUUUGUAUAUGUUAAUGUCAUCUCUUAAUUUAUUUACCUAUACACAUGCAGCCUCUUGUUUAGCUUUGUAUUCCUGACUUUCCCCUAUUUCAAGUAUUCUGUAGAUUAAAGAAGCAUUACUUAUUUGUGGGUUUUGUGCUCUUGUAUCAAAGUUGCAAGAAUUUUACUGAAAAUAGCACUUUUCCUCAGUAUUUCAAUCUUAUGAGCAUGCAAAUUAUAAUCAUUAGGCAGAUACAUGAGUCCUUUCAAUUUUCUGAUCGGCCUAAUUUAAUACUUGAUAGCAUUUAUGUUUUUAGAUGCUACCUAUCUGACUUAAGGCGAAGGGAUUGACAUUGUACCAUUUGAAAUGUCAUUUGCAGGUAUAUCAUUGCCUUAUAGCUUCUUUUUCUUGUUUCUAAUUUCCUCUCUCUAGUUGAUAUUUGGUUUAUUCAUUCACUCUAGUUUUGGAUGCAUUAGUGCAUGGAUAGCUAAACUAGUCAUUAUGCAGAAGUAUAGACUUGGACAGUAGACUUGGAAGCAAAGCUCUUCGGAACAAGACAGAGAGACAUUGGUUAGCACUUUAUAAAUCUUGAAACAAUUUGUUCAUUUGUUCACGAGUGUUCAUUUGUUUUAGUUAGUCCAUGAUUGUGUUCUAGUUUCUUUAGAUAGCCUUGUUAUUUACAAUGACAUAAUGCUUUCAGGUUUUUAACCAAAUUAAAUGAACUGAACUCCACUGUACUUGUUCUCAUUUUUGGUAAAGUAAAGAGCCGAUAAGCUUUCUUGGUAAGGUCUAUAUUAACAGACUUAACAUUACCGGUCUUGCACUUUGCUUUGUAUAUCCAUUUGUUGCAUGUUUAUCUGACUAUGAAUAAUGUAUAUGUCAUAUGUAAAUGUUGUUUUGGUAUGUCAAAGAUUCCUUGUGCUCUAAUGUCACCAAAAUGACAUAUCUAAUUUCUUGUGCAUUUGAUUUUCUUGCUUUGGUAACUGAAGCAUUUUGUUGCAUGGAAACACAGAGUUGCAUAUACUAUAUGUUGAUUGGAAUUACAUGAUCGUCAUUGCAGAAACUUUGUUUCAACUUUUAAGUAGACGCAAAGAUUUCAAAUGUCAGAGUGGUGCUACAUUUUGGUUUAAGAUGUGGUGGUGAUCUAGAGUAAGAUUGAUUUGAUUACUGAGAUUGUUCCCUCCAAGUGAAUGCAUCUUUAAGAAAGGAUGUCAUACUGCCAAUAUCCAGUAUUCUUUAAGAACUGCCGUUUUCGGGAUCCCUUCUAUGUACGAGUCUGAUGACGAGGUGGCACUUGAAAUGGCUGUUUACAAAGUUGCAGCACAUUUGUUCUCAUAGCUUUGCAUUGCACUUGUAGAAUAUUCAGAGUAGAAGAUUGAAGGUUAAUCAUCUGUUACAAUUCUUCUUCUGCAAGUUCAAAUUUGUCAUUAUAGAAUGUUCACACUUGUGUAGUCACUUGUAUUAUGUAAUAUUUUAAAAAUUUUUCUUUAAUAUGAAUAUUGUAAUGAUGAUUGAGAAAGGAAUAAAAGAAGAUGGGAAUACAUUUUUUCUCUCUUUACUUUUAUCGAAAUUAAUAUGUAUUGAAUAUUUAUUUUUAUUGAAAUUAUUUUUAUUCAUAUAAUAAAAUAUAUAUAAUUGGAAAUAAAUUAAACUGAAAAUUUUCAUUAGAACCGACUUCUGAGUCCAUAUCAGAUAACAAUUUUAAGAACAAGCAUGGUCUGACUAGUGAUCACACAACUGUUAUUCUGCAAAACCAUGAUGUGAUUGUAUGUCACACGACACAAAAUAUGUCAAUACGUUGUCGACAUAUGUCGUCAUUCCAUGGCUAUCGACAUAUGUCGACAGUAGUUAGACGACGUUUCUACAAUACAACAUAUGACACGUAAAAAGAUAACAGUAAUCUGAACAAUUAAACGACGUUUUUUGACCGUGGUCUGAUUUUUUUGUGGUAGUGAUGUUUCAAACAAUAGUUUCAAUUUUGAACAACAAGCAUAAAAAGCUGAAAUGAACAAACAAUUCCCUUUUUGACUUUGGAAAAUGGUGCAGUGUUAUAGUAAAGAAAAUUUGGCUUAAAAAGAAGAGGAACAUAACUGGCAACACAAGGUAAUUGAGAUGACACCGAAUUUCUUAUUCAGUGGGAAAGUUUUUAAACAAUCUAUGUUUAUUAGGAAGAAUUCGGACAAAUAGCUAAACUUCACAUGAUUGACAUAUGGGACAGCCAAAACACCUAACCAAGCUCCAUUUUCAUAGGCCGUUCCGUAUACCCCGUUCAAUGAGUCUACUACUUCGUCUACAUUCAGUUUGAUAGCCCCUGCUCUUGGCCUUUUCCAGAUUACCAAACUCCUAUUGUUUAUUGCUGUUUGUUUCUUCCUAUCUCCAAUGUGCUCAGAUUCUUCUAUCCCUUUCUCAGCUUGUUCCAAGAGCUCCCACCAUGACACAAACUUGUAAAUCAAAGCAUCAGAAGACAUAACCUCCCCUCCAUGUAUUCUUCUAUUUCGAUCAUACCAUAAAUGCCACACUAUAACAUUGAACCACUCCAAUUCCUUCUCAUGUGCUACUGUUAUAACAUUAAACCACUCCAUGUAUUCUAUUUCUUUCCACACCUUACAAACCUCUCGCAAGAAAGACUGCUCCCAUACUUGGCGAGCCCACGAGCACUCCCAAAAAACAUGCAUUGCAGUUUCCUCCCCAUAUCCACAUUUUGAACAGCAGCUCCAAUUCCCCACCUUCCUUCUUUUCAGCUCAGCUCUACACGGCAAAAAAUUAUUGCAGGCUCUCCACAUAAAGACCUUAAUUUUAUUAGGCAAGCGCAAGCCCCAAAGUUUCUCCCACCCAACUUGGACAACGCUGCCAUUCCCCGUUCUAUUGUUAGCUUUUGUUCCACAUUCUCUACGAAUCCUCUCCUGAUCAGCAACCCAAUAACCUGAUUUGACCGAGUAUCUUCCAUUUAUACUGUAAUGCUAGAUGAGCCUAUUAUUGCAAACUUGUUCUGGAAAAUAUUUAAUUGAACAGCUCCAAAUCUGUGAAACUAAACCUCCAUUCGAUUUGCUCCUACAUAGCUUAUUCCAUUUGCACCAAUGAAUGCCUUAUUUCCCCCCUCUUUUCCCCACCGAAAUCUCGAUACCUUCGACAUGAACAUUUUGAGAACACCCUUUGGUAGUUUGAACACACUGAUGGUGUAAUUUGGGAUGGCUUGAGCAACAGCUUUAAUUAGAGUCAUCUUCCCUGCUUUUGGAAGAUGUAAUACCCCGGAAAUUUAUUGUUAGUUUCUAAUUUUAUUUUGGAAUUUAUUUAAGUAAGAGUUGUAUGGUUUUGUGGUUUAGUGAGUGGACUAGAAGUAGUCGAGUUUUUUUUAUUACCGUGAAAAUGCUUUAUUUUGAAGGGUCAAGAGUUGACUUUUUAAUUUUUUGGGUUUCUCGGAAAACUUCCUUCACGGAAGCUGUAGAGCACGACGAUACGAGUUCGUAGACACGUGGCACACAUAAAACGGACUUCGUAUGUAGAAGUUAUGGUCAACGGAAGUUCGUGGCUUUACGAAAAUUUUGGGUUAAAUAUCAAAAGUUUAGAGUUUCCUUUCAUUUUUUUCCGGAAACCUUUCCUCCUCAUUUUCUUUCUCUCUCUCGCGACACCUUCACUGUCAGAGUUUCCCAGCCGACCCGACCCGGACCCGGCGACCCGACCCGACUUUUCCGGCCAACUCCGGCCGACCCAGACGACGGCACCGGUCGGGUUCUCUUCCUCUCCUCCGUCCGAGCUGCCCUGUGGUGGUGACUUGCGCCGUUUCAACCCCGAAUCGGUGACCCGAAGCUCGGAAGCUCGGGUUAGAGACCCGGUCGAGUUUCAGACCUCCGGCGGCGGCGACAAGGCGGGAGACUGUUCGGGAUAGGAGCCCCGUGGCGUCCUGGUCCGACUUCUGGUGGCCCUGGAGCGUGACUCUCGGUGUAGAGUGGUGGUGGUGGAAUUUGACAUUCCUGGCGAGUUUCCGGCGACUUCCCGGCCGUUUUGGUUUCGACCUCAGGUAUGGAAGUUGCUCUCCUUGCUCUGAGCUAUACUUUUGGUGUUGGAAGUUUGUCCGUUUUCAAAGGUUAGUGGGCUGGCGCGUGGGGCCCACGCGCAGUCGCUAGGGGCAGCGCGUAGCGGUGUGUCCGUAGGUGGUUGUGGUGUUUGUGUUGUUGGUUAGGUAGUACUCGUUGAUACGAUCAUGUUGAUAUGUGGUUUGUAGGUUUUGGUUACCGAUGAUGCAUGCUAAGGUUUCCCUCUCGAAUGCUAGGUUUCGUUCGGUUUCCAUUUUUGAGUAUAUCUGAUUUUUAGAAAUCUGGUUUGUGGUUUUAUAAGUUGUGUAGGAUGUUCAGGCGACCUUUUUGAGGUAUAGGGAGAGGUUUUGUCUCGAGUGACAAGUUUGUGGGUUAGGACUUGAGUUUUGGUUCGAGUCGGUUUAUGUUGUUUUUGNNNNNNNNNNNNNNNNNNNNUUAGUUGUGGAUGUAUGCCUUAGUGGUGAUUUUGUGCAUUAGUUGUGGAUGUGUGCCUUAGUGGUGAUUGUGUGUAUUAGAUUAGGAGCCUUCGUGGUGGACCGGGAACCAAGCCUUGGCCGGGUGAUUGGUUACGGUCAGUAUAUAGCUCUAGUCUGUUGGUACUUAUGGGGGAUGACUAUGUGUUGACGAACCCAUGAGUACGUGUUUUGUCUAGUUACUUAUGGGGGAUGACUAUGCGUUGGCGAACCCAUAAGUAAGGGUUGAGAAAUGAUUGUGUGGUGUUCUUAUUUAAAUUCUUCGCUUUGAGUAUCUCCUGAACUAUGCUUAUUCGCAGGGGAUUCUCAAAUUUUAAUCGUGUGAUUUUAAUGGAAUUCCUGAAUUAUAAUUUUUGUAGGAUUUCAUUUAUGAUUUUUGAGUGAUUGAGAAUUGUUGUGUUUUCUUAAUUUCAUCUUUUGAUUUUCUCUUGCUUGGAAGUGUUUUCCUGAAUUUUUUUUUUUUAUGCAUGAACUCUUGGUUUUAUCUUAUGAGUUGUUGGGUUGAGUCUGUUGUUGUAAAUUUACUCAUACGAGCUUUUAAAGCUUACCGGGUUUGUUGUUUACAACCCGGUGCACCAUUCCAUGGUGUAGAGGUUGAUUUUGCAGGUGAGGAAGUUCAAGACUGAGACGUGGAGGUCUAGAAGCUGUUUGUUAGGAGUUAAACAUUUUGUUAUUGUAUGUCAAAUUGUAGUGAGCUCUUUUGAGCGUGACCUUUACUUGACUUCUCAAGUUUUGUAAACGUUGAAUUUUAUUAUAUGACUCUUUUUAUUUUUGUUAUCAUGCCUUAAAUUUGGAUUUUUAUUUAUCCGAAAUUUGGGGUGUGACAGUUUGGUAUCAGAGCCUAGGUUUACAUAUUUGGUGAUAAUCAAUACUUCGGAGUGAUGGUCCGACUGCAGCGGGAUCACCAUCAUAAGCUCUUCGGUAUUGAUAUGUCAUUGGGUAUGUGAAGGGUUAGGUGUCGCCUCUAGGUUAAUAGGAUGCCAGAGUAGAGAGUACUCUGUUAGUGGGAUUUUGAAUCCUUGUGUCCACCUUGAGUUAGUGACUUGGUUAAUAAAUGUUGCAUUUGACUUAUACUUUGGUUUAAGUUUUAUGCAUGAGUUAACCAAGGUUUACUUGCUUCUUAGGUGAUGGAUCCUCCGCGAGGGAGAGCUAGAGGCCGAGGUAGGGCCAGAAGGGCCGGUAGAGCCAAAGGGGCAGGUGGGGCCAGAGGCAGAGGUAGGGCUCCACCUGUGGAUGAUUUCUUUGAGGAGGAGGUGGUGUUGGAGGAGCCGGUGCCAGUCGCUGUAGAUGAUGGUCUACGAUUGGCCAGGCUGGCUCAGGGUAUCAUUAGGUUAGGAGCGCCUUCCUUUCUUGGAGGUACGGACUUCCUAGUAGCGGAUCACUGGAUAGAGGGCAUGGAGACAUACUUUACCCUUAUCACGUGUACGGAGAUUGAGAAGAUGCGUAUUGCUACGUUUCUUCUCAAAGAUGAGGCACGGGUAUGGUGGAACGGGGUAGAGAGAGCUAGAGAUGUGACCGCUUUGUCUUGGGAGGGGUUCGUACAGCUCUUUCGGGAGAAGUAUUUUCCUGAUACUGUGAGAGAGCAGUUGGAGCUUGAGUUCAUAGCUCUAGUGCAGGGCUUGAUGAGUGUCAGGGACUAUAAGGCACGUUUUUCUCAGUUGUAUCGAUUCGCGAGAGAGAUGGAUGCAGUGGCCUUGCCACGGAAGUUUAUUCGGGGUUUGAGGCAUAAGCUCCGGAAUGUUGUAAGUUCACACCGUUUUGCUACUCUAGCAGAAGCGGUAGAGAGUGCCCUUGCAGUUGAGCAGGAGGAGGCCAUGCAUGAGGCUGAGGGACUAAGAGAUGUGCAUGGGAAGGGGAAGGCCGUUGCAGGAGGCAGUGGCUCUGAGGGUCUUCAUGGUGCGUCUGGGAAGAGGCAGCGGACCGAUCAGCAGGCUCUAGCUACGGUGCCAGCUGCACCUAUCCGACAGGUAGAGCCCUUGAGAUGCUACCGUUGCGAUGGGUUAGGACAUAUUGCUAGGGAGUGCCAUAAGCGGAAGACUCAGGCUUGCUAUAGUUGUGGGCAGGUGGGGCACCUGGCUAGGGAGUGUACUCGACCUCAGGAGGACAGAUAGGGGUACCAGCAGAGGCAGUUGCCUCCGACCCAGUAGUAUUCAGGUGAGCUAUUUGUUUAACUAUUGUUAGGUUGCGGUGGGUGAAGUCUUGUCGUUUGUGCCUUGUGAAUGUAGUUAAAAUUUGUGUGGUAGACCUUCUGUCUGAAUGAGUUUUUGUGUGGAUCUGAUGCCUUCAUGAUUUAUUGACUUGUAGCAGUGUUGAUUUAUGUUGUGUGGCAAAGUUCUUUUGAAAGCUUGUAGUGUCAUAGUGAGUUGACGAGGAUGCAAUGCAAAUAUUGUUUUGUUUUGAGUUCACAUUCUUGUGUAGUUUGUGUGUCGUGCUAUGGCUUGCGAUUUAACUUAGGAGUCUUGAAAAAGAAUUAUUUGGUUUGUUUGUAUGAGGGAUUUAAUUCAUGAGAUUAUUUUUGAUUUAUUACUUUUGUUGAGGUGGUGGUUGUUUAUUUGGGGGAGCGGAUGGCUCCAGGAGAUGUGGAUUAAUUUGUUUUCGAAGUGUCUGGGUUUUGGUGAAUUUUCUUUCAGGCAGGGUUACCCAUUUUUAAGGGAGGUUAUGCCAAAAUUUUGGUAGAAUUUCCCUUGAGGUGGGUCUCGUAAGGUCUAUGCCGGAUUUCAAGGGGCAAAUCCGAGGUAGGUCCUGACAAUUAGCAGAGUAGUGGUAGUGUAUUUUGUAGAGACGUGUUAUCGUGUUUUAUUUUAUGAGUGGUUGGUUGAGGUUUGACUUUAGUGAGACGAGUGUUUUUGGAAUGGUCUAGCUCUUUGUGAGUGAUGAACUAGUUCGCAUCCUUAGAAACCCUUGUUUCUGUAUAGUUAGUCAUGUGGUGAUAGUGACUUUAUGUAGGGAAGUGUGUCUCUGGUUGAUCAAUUUCCACUAGGUGGAAUGUGGAUUAGAGUGUUUAAAUUUCGGGGACGAAAUUUUCUUUAAGGGGGGUAGAGUGUAAUACCCUGGAAAUUUAUUGUUAGUUUCUAAUUUUAUUUUGGAAUUUAUUUAAGUAAGAGUUGUAUGGUUUUGUGGUUUAGUGAGUGGACUAGAAAUAGUCGAGUUUUUUUUUAUUUCCGUGAAAAUGCUUUAUUUUGAAAGGUCAAGAGUUGACUUUUUAAUUUGUUGGGUUUCUCGGAAAACUUCCUUCACGGAAGCUGUAGAGCACGACGAUACGAGUUCGUAGACACGUGGCACACGUAAAACGGACUUCGUAUGUGGAAGUUAUGGUCAGCGGAAGUUCGUGGCUUUACGAAAAUUUUGGGUUAAAUAUCAAAAGUUUAGAGUUUCCUUUCAUUUUUUCCNNNNNNNNNNNNNNNNNNNNNNNNNNNNNNNNNNNNNNNNNNNNNNNNNNNNNNNNNNNNNNNNNNNNNNNNNNNNNNNNNNNNNNNNNNNNNNNNNNNNNNNNNNNNNNNNNNNNNNNNNNNNNNNNNNNNNNNNUGAGUAAAUCUCACAUGGGUUCAUAAAGGAACCGAGUUUAAUUUAUAGAUUAUUAUUGUUAAUUGUGAAGUUGUCCUUGAAGGAAAAUGAUUUUUGUUUUUAAAUAUAAAUGAGCUUGAUCGUCAACGGCUCAAGGGUAAGUGAAAAUAUGUUUUCUGAUAAAAAUAAAAUCUUUCAAAAGGACUUCUGAUCAUGGGUUAUAAUUGGAUGUGUUCAUUGUGGUGAUUGUGUGCUUUCGUUGUGGAUUGGUGUCUUAGAGGUAAUUGUGGGUCUUUGUUAUGAAUGUAUGCCUUAGUGGUGAUUUUGUGCAUUAGUUGUGGAUGUGUGCCUUAGUGGUGAUUGUGUGUAUUAGAUUAGGAGCCUUCGUGGUGGACCGGAAACCAAGCCUUGGCCGGGUGAUUGGUUACGGUCAGUAUAGAGCUCUAGUCUGUCGGUACUUAUGGGGGAUGACUAUGUGUUGACGAACCCAUGAGUACGUGUUUUGUCUAGUUACUUAUGGGGGAUGACUAUGCGUUGGCGAACCCAUAAGUAAGGGUUGAGAAAUGAUUGUGUGGUGUUCUUAUUUAAAUUCUUCGCUUUGAGUAUCUCUUGAACUAUGCUUAUUCGCAGGGGAUUCUCAAAUUUUAAUCGUGUGAUUUUAAUGGAAUUCCUGAAUUAUAAUUUUUGUAGGAUUUCAUUUAUGAUUUUUGAGUGAUUGAGAAUUGUUGUGUNNNNNNNNNNNNNNNNNNNNNNNNNNNNNNNNNNNNNNNNNNNNNNNNNNNNNNNNNNNNNNNNNNNNNNNNNNNNNNNNNNNNNNNNNNNNNNNNNNNNNNNNNNNNNNNNNNNNNNNNNNNNNNNNNNNNNNNNNNNNNNNNNNNNNNNNNNNNNNNNNNNNNNNNNNNNNNNNNNNNNNNNNNNNNNNNNNNNNNNNNNNNNNNNNNNNNNNNNNNNNNNNNNNNNNNNNNNNNNNNNNNNNNNNNNNNNNNNNNNNNNNNNNNNNNNNNNNNNNNNNNNNNNNNNNNNNNNNNNNNNNNNNNNNNNNNNNNNNNNNNNNNNNNNNNNNNNNNNNNNNNNNNNNNNNNNNNNNNNNNNNNNNNNNNNNNNNNNNNNNNNNNNNNNNNNNNNNNNNNNNNNNNNNNNNNNNNNNNNNNNNNNNNNNNNNNNNNNNNNNNNNNNNNNNNNNNNNNNNNNNNNNNNNNNNNNNNNNNNNNNNNNNNNNNNNNNNNNNNNNNNNNNNNNNNNNNNNNNNNNNNNNNNNNNNNNNNNNNNNNNNNNNNNNNNNNNNNNNNNNNNNNNNNNNNNNNNNNNNNNNNNNNNNNNNNNNNNNNNNNNNNNNNNNNNNNNNNNNNNNNNNNNNNNNNNNNNNNNNNNNNNNNNNNNNNNNNNNNNNNNNNNNNNNNNNNNNNNNNNNNNNNNNNNNNNNNNNNNNNNNNNNNNNNNNNNNNNNNNNNNNNNNNNNNNNNNNNNNNNNNNNNNNNNNNNNNNNNNNNNNNNNNNNNNNNNNNNNNNNNNNNNNNNNNNNNNNNNNNNNNNNNNNNNNNNNNNNNNNNNNNNNNNNNNNNNNNNNNNNNNNNNNNNNNNNNNNNNNNNNNNNNNNNNNNNNNNNNNNNNNNNNNNNNNNNNNNNNNNNNNNNNNNNNNNNNNNNNNNNNNNNNNNNNNNNNNNNNNNNNNNNNNNNNNNNNNNNNNNNNNNNNNNNNNNNNNNNNNNNNNNNNNNNNNNNNNNNNNNNNNNNNNNNNNNNNNNNNNNNNNNNNNNNNNNNNNNNNNNNNNNNNNNNNNNNNUUUUUUUUUAUGCAUGAACUUCUUGGUUUUACCUUAUGAGUUGUUGGGUUGAGUCUGUUGUUGUAGAUUUACUCAUACGAGCUUUUAAAGCUUACCGGGUUUGUUGUUUACAACCCGGUGCACCAUUCCAUGGUGUAGAGGUUGAUUUUGCAGGUGAGGAAGUUCAAGACUGAGACGUAGAGGUCUAGAAGCUGUUUGUUAGGAGUUAAACAUUUUGUUAUUGUAUGUCAAAUUGUAGUGAGCUCUUUUGAGCGUGACCUUUACUUGACUUCUCAAGUUUUGUAAACGUUGAAUUUUAUUAUAUGACUCUUUUUAUUUUUGUUAUCAUGCCUUAAAUUUGGAUUUUUAUUUAUCCGAAAUUUGGGGUGUGACAGAAGAAGCUUACAAUUCCAACUAGAAAGAUGGACAUCAAGCCACUCCUACAUUUUUUUUUGUACAUAUCCUUUUUGCUUCUGCCUGCUAAUGUGGGAAGUCCAAGAUAUCGCUAAUCAAACAGAACCACUUGUACCCCUAAAAUCUGUAACAACUCCUCCUACACUUGAGCUUUUCACCCCCGACUUUAGGCCUCAUCAUCUGGACCUUUAGCCCUAGCCUUCCCUAAAACCCACCCUACCCUAUAGGGCCGAAACCCUACCAGGCCUUCCAUUAGGGUGGGCCGGCCCUAGCCUUUUCAAAUUGGGUAGGGCAAGAGUCAAGCAAAUGAAACCCGUCACUAACCUAUUGAGCCCUUUAGGACCAAACUCGGUCCAAUCUGGCCUUAAAUCGGCCCAAAUAAUUAUUUUUUCUUGUUUUUAAUGCAACUAAUCUUCUUUUGUUAUAAACUAAUGAAUAUGUAGAGAGAAAAAGAAGAACAACAUGUAGGAGGAGGAAAAAGUGUCACUUUCAUUCUCAUUAGGCUCCUUUAUAUAGGAGUAUGAUUUACAUCUAAAGAGAUAACUAAUAAGUAUUUUUACAAGGACAUCCACAUAUAUUAUAAUAUUUACAACACUCCCCCUUGGAUGUCCAUCAAUAAUAUGAUGUUGUCUCAUUAAAAAUCUUGCCAGGUAAUAAAAACCCUAUGGGAAAAAAAUAACCAUGGUUGAAGGAGAAAAAGAGUGCAACGCGCAUAUGUUCUAGGUAGCAUACUUCUGGAUGCUCCUCCUGAUGAGAAUCUCCGCCUGAUUGUUGUAAGCUUCAUAUACUGUAAAUAGCAGUUUGAUUUGUAUAUCACGAAAGUGAGAUAUUAUGCGUUUUGCAUACAGGGGCUCAUCGCAAAAUUUUCGUACCUGCAAAGUGAAAGCAAUACCAACAGAACUAUACAACUUUAAUUGGUCUUACCUCAUUUAGUAAUGUUAGAAACAACCUCACACGUUCAAAUUCAUACAUUAUGUAAUAACUAAGCAGUAGAAGCUAAUUAACACAUUACUAUGUAUGGUUCAAACCAUUGGAAGAUCAACAUGGCAUAUCUAGCCACUCAUAUCAAUAUCUUUGUUUAUUGAUACAUCUCGUAUAUGCUCUUCAAUAGCUUUAAGCAAUUCAUAACUUCGCGAAAGUUAUAAUAUGUAGCAACAUAAUCCGAAUUCGGUUUUGUAGUCCAAUCAUAAUACUCAUUGAGGAAAAUUUGAUCACGUUAACUAUAACAUAAUGAGUAUAUAUGAGAUAGCUUUAGACUAUCCAUUGCAUGAGUUAACUUUAGUUUAAUAGCCCAGCAUAACGAGAGAUAUGCUCGCCUUUGGGCCUCCCCCUCAUGCCUUUCCUCUUGGGUUCCAACCUAAGACACGUCUCACUAAUGGGAGUUGUGUUUGCAUGUAUAAGGCACAUUACAUCAUUUUGCUUAGGGAUUCAGACUCUCUCAUGUAUUCAUGAAUCAAUUUACAUUCGAAUCAUUCAUGUACUUGGAUCCUUUAAGGAUUCACUACCAGAAGAAAGGCUUUAGCCGACGUAAAUAAAAAAAACAGGCCAAAGAACAAUUUUUUCGUCAGCUAAAGUCCACUUUAGCCGACGAAAUUUUCCUUCGUCGGCUAAUUUAAAUUUUCGUCGGCUAUAGUCAACUUUAGCCGACGAAAUUAAAUUUUCGUCGGAUAAAGAAUUUUUUCGUCGGCUAUAGUCUGUGGACUUUAGCCGACGACAUUAAACAUUCUUUUUCGUCGGCUAAAGUGCUUUAUAUUUGCAGAUCUGGACAGCAGCUCAUCUGGGAAAAAAAAACGGGAGAAGAAAAAACAGGAGAAAAAGUUUGGGUGUUGUCGAAAUUUGUCCAUAAUUAGUUUGUGGGCUAUAUAUAGAUACGUACGUAUGUACAUAUGUAUAUAUAUGUUGAUUUUGAGUUUUAUUUGAGUUGAUCGAUUUUGAGUGUGAUUGAAUUGAUAGAUUUUGAGUACGUUGGAUGUAUAUAUAUAUAUGUGUGUUGAUCGAUUUGGUUGAUGAUUUGAUAAUAUAUAUGAUGUUGUGUUAAUAAUUAGUAGUAGAUAUAUAUAUAUAUAUGUUAAUUAAUUUAUAAUAUUGUGUUGAUGGUAUGAAGUUGUUGAUGAUGAUUUUGUGAUGAUGUUGAUAUAUAUAAUAUUGUUAUGUAAUUAUUAAGUAUAUAUAUAUAUGUGUGUGUUGAUUAAUUUGUUAUCAAUUAUUUGUUAUCAAUUUGUUAAUUAAUUAAUAUAUAUAUACUAAAUGAAUUGAGAUUUUAUAUAUGGUAUGAAAUUUAAUUAAUAAUUAGCUAGCGUUAUACAUAUAUAUUUUGUUAUAUUUUCAGGAUAUAUAUGGAUAAGAGUUGGAUUUCGCUUCCAAAAUAGGACAAAAGCUAUGGUAAAGGAGUUAUGAGUUUUCUGGAAUAUACGCUGGCUAAUGCUAACGGGAAUACAAUUUUCUAUUGCCCGUGCACGAAAUGUCAGCGUCGCAGCGAUAUGCAUCGAUUUGGGAUUGACAAAAUAUGACAGCACCUGAAGAGUAACGGGUUUUGGGAGAAGUACACAUGUUGGUUAUAUCACGGUGAAACAUCAUCAGGGGGUCCGCAUGAUCAUGGGCAAUUUUCUGAGACGGGCAGUACAUCGAACGAUCCAACAACGGCCUUCAUCAACGACAUGUUUCUUUAUGAGAGCGGUGUAUGCGCUUAAGGACAGUAUAUACCUGACCCGGUGCAACCCUUCCCUAGAGCUGUCAACACUGCUGGUAUUGACAAGUACAACAAACUGCUUGCUUUCCAACAGACCCCUAUGUACCCCGGUUGUCAGAAGACCGUUCUUGAAAGUGUAAUGGACGUAAUGAAGAUUAAAGUUGAGACAAAAUCGACUGUGAAAGCUAUUGAUGAUUAUCUACAGUACACUGUUUCGAUGUUGCCCCACGGUCAUCGUCCUCCUACCAGUCAUCAUAAGGACCGAUGUAUCUUGAAAGAUCUUGGGCUUUCCUACAUCAAGAUCCAUGCAUGCAGAUAUGACUGCGUUCUCUUCUGGGGUAAAGAUCCAGAAGGAAAUGACCUUGGUGGCCUUGACGCAUGUCCGGUAUGUCACACUGACAGGUAUAAGUAAGAUGACUCCUGCAGGCAACAUGAAACCUGUGAAGGUACUUUGGUAUUUACCUUUGAGGGAUAGGCUGGAGCGGUUGUACAUGUCUUCACACACGGCCGAAGCUAUGAGAUGGCACGUUGAUAAAGAAUUGCAUGACGAAGAUACCCUUAUACACCCUGCUGACGGGGAGGCUUGGAAGCAUAUAGACAGGGAGUUUCCUCAUUUUGCGUCAGAGGUCCGAAAUGUGAGGCUCGGGCUCUCAUCCGACUGGUUCAACCCUUUUGGCAACAUGAGUCUUCAAUACAGUGUAUGGCCGGUGAUUUUGGUACCGUACAACCUUCCUCCAUGGAUGUGCAUGAAGAAGGAAUACAAUAUGUUGAGUUUGUUGAUUCUGGGGCCCGGUUAUCCAGGGAAGUGUCUCGAUGUGUAUUUGAGACUUUUGAUUGAAGAGCUUAAAUUUUUGUGAGACGUUGGUCAUCCNNNNNNNNNNNNNNNNNNNNNNNNNNNNNNNNNNNNNNNNNNNNNNNNNNNNNNNNNNNNNNNNNNNNNNNNNNNNNNNNNNNNNNNNNNNNNNNNNNNNNNNNNNNNNNNNNNNNNNNNNNNNNNNNNNNNNNNNNNNNNNNNNNNNNNNNNNNNNNNNNNNNNNNNNNNNNNNNNNNNNNNNNNNNNNNNNNNNNNNNNNNNNNNNNNNNNNNNNNNNNNNNNNNNNNNNNNNNNNNNNNNNNNNNNNNNNNNNNNNNNNNNNNNNNNNNNNNNNNNNNNNNNNNNNNNNNNNNNNNNNNNNNNNNNNNNNNNNNNNNNNNNNNNNNNNNNNNNNNNNNNNNNNNNNNNNNNNNNNNNNNNNNNNNNNNNNNNNNNNNNNNNNNNNNNNNNNNNNNNNNNNNNNNNNNNNNNNNNNNNNNNNNNNNNNNNNNNNNNNNNNNNNNNNNNNNNNNNNNNNNNNNNNNNNNNNNNNNNNNNNNNNNNNNNNNNNNNNNNNNNNNNNNNNNNNNNNNNNNNNNNNNNNNNNNNNNNNNNNNNNNNNNNNNNNNNNNNNNNNNNNNNNNNNNNNNNNNNNNNNNNNNNNNNNNNNNNNNNNNNNNNNNNNNNNNNNNNNNNNNNNNNNNNNNNNNNNNNNNNNNNNNNNNNNNNNNNNNNNNNNNNNNNNNNNNNNNNNNNNNNNNNNNNNNNNNNNNNNNNNNNNNNNNNNNNNNNNNNNNNNNNNNNNNNNNNNNNNNNNNNNNNNNNNNNNNNNNNNNNNNNNNNNNNNNNNNNNNNNNNNNNNNNNNNNNNNNNNNNNNNNNNNNNNNNNNNNNNNNNNNNNNNNNNNNNNNNNNNNNNNNNNNNNNNNNNNNNNNNNNNNNNNNNNNNNNNNNNNNNNNNNNNNNNNNNNNNNNNNNNNNNNNNNNNNNNNNNNNNNNNNNNNNNNNNNNNNNNAAAUUUGAGAGGAUAUUUCCUCCAAAUUUUUUUGACAUCAUGCCUCACCUGAUGAUCCAUUUUCCCGAGCAAUUGUUGCUUACCGGUCCAGUACACUACACUUGGAUGUAUCCCAUGAAAAUGUACAUUUUUUACACCUGAAUUCCUCAAUAUAUAUACAUGUUCAAUAAUCAUAACAUUUUGCAACUUGAUUUACAGGCAACUUGGAGACUACAAAGAUUAUGUGGCUAAUAAAUCCACGCCUGCAGGAUGUAUAGUUGAAGCAUAUAUUGCGCACGAGUGCGUCACCUACAUGAAGUUGUAUUUAGGAGCGUUGAAGGAAACUCCGCAAACCAUGCCGGUAUAUGUACCGAAGUUCAAUCUUUCCAUAGUCUCCAGUGAUGUUGAAGUGUAUGGAAUUUUGCCAGACUCCUACAAGUUGCAACCACAUGAGCUAGUCAUUGCCCACUGGUGGAUAUUGAUUAACUGUCGAGAAGUUGAAUAUUGGAAAGACAUCCAUCUAUAUUGUCCAGACAUUCAAGGUGAUCUCGAGUACAGGAUUGACUGGCGAAAAUACGAAAUUUAGACGGUCCAACGACCUUUUCCGUGCAUUUAGAGGUUUGACUUACAGGAUUGACCGUCGGGAUCGAGCCCUCAACCUUGUCGGAUCAAGUGGAAUUUUUGCCCAUACAUGUAUUUUGUCAUGAUGGUCAGAUCUGACGGUCGGAUUUCCGUUUCUCAAGUUUGAUCAUCACAAUCACAACAUGCCUACUAAUGUUGUAUAACUUGUUUACCAAGUGUUAAGUAAAUAUUUCGUUUCAAAAACAAAUUAUACGUAAAACCUUCAAACGCAAAAAAGUCGUAAAAUAAGAUAUGACCAGAAUGGUGAAAUACGUCCACGGUUGAAAAAUCUCAGUAUUCCGGUAAAGUUUCGGUGCCGAUAGUUGCGGUCAAUGCAAUUUUUCAUUCUUUCUCCCUAUGAGUAGCUCUAUCUUCGGUGGUUAUUUUGCGUAAAAUUUUUAUAUUGUUGCGUCUUAUCGAUUUCAAACUAUUUUCAGUUGAAGGUCCAGCCAAAAUACGAAAUUUAGACAGUCCAACGAUCUUUUCCGUGCGUUUAGGGGUUUGACUUACGGGAUUGACCGUCGGGACCUUGUUGGAUCAAGUUGAAUUUUUGCCCAUACAUGUAUUUUGUCAUGAUGGUCAGAUCUGACGGUCGGAUUUCCGUUUCUCAAGUUUGAUCAUCACAAUCACAACAUGCCUACUAAUGUUGUAUAGCUUGUUUACCAAGUGUUAAGUAAAUGUUUCGUUUCAAAAACAAACUGUACGUAGAACCUUCAAACGUAAAAAAGUCGUGAAAUAAGAUAUGACCAGAAUGGUGAAAUAUGUCUACGGUUGAAAAAUCAUGGUAUUCCGGUAAAGUCUCUGUGCCGAUAGUUGCGGUCAAUGCAAUUUUCCAUUCUUUCUCCCUAUGGGUAGCCCUAUCUUCGGUGGUUAUUUUCCCCAAAAUUAUUAUACGACUUGUUGCGUUUUAUCGGUUUGAAACUAUCUUCAGUUGAAGGUCUGGCCAAAAUACGUAAUUUAGACGGUCACAAUCACAAUGUGCCGAAUGUAUAAAGUAUUUAAGCCGACGAAUUUCAAAGUUUAGCGGACGAAUUUCAAAGAUUUAGCCGACGAAUUUCAAAGUUUGGCCGACGAAGUAAAAAUUUCGUCGGCUAAAGUGGUACGGUAUACAGACGAACCCCAGCGCGAGAACAGCCUCCACCGCGCGAAUUCGAAACCCUAGCCUCUUCCGCCUCCUCGAGCCCUCUCUCGGUCGCCCUUUCCCUCUCCCUCUCCCUCCCUCCGGCCGCCCUCUCCCUCCUGUCGCCCUCUCCCUCUCCCGGUCUCCCUCUCCCUCUCCCUCCCUCCGGUCGCCCUCUCCCUCUCCUGCUCGCUCGGGCUCCGGCUCCCCCUGCUCCGCCUCCGCCUGCUCGUCACUCGCCAGGUGGUGUAAUUCUCUGAUUUUUAUUUCGAUAUGUGCGUUUAGGGUUUCAAAUUUAGGAAUUUAGGGUUUUUAUGCGCUAUUGAUAUUGUGGAUUGGUUUAUGAUAAAUAUAUUGGUUUAUGAUGAAUAUAUUGAGAAUUUUGGUGAUAAUCCAUCUAUUGAAUGUUAUUGGUGUGAAUGAUUGAGUUGGUGUUUUGACAAAAAUUUGCAUUAAUUUGAUAGGACCAAAUAAAAAAACUAUGAUCGACGCCGAUUGAUUUUGCAAGUUUUUAUAUAUUGGAUUAUGCAAGUUUUAAUAUAUGGUUUUGUUGGAAUAUUGUGGAUAUUUUCGACGCCUAUUGAUUUUGUGUAUGACAUAUAUGUGGUGUGUCGUUAUUAAGUUUCAUGAUUUUCUUUCUCAGCCUUGAUUCAAAUAAAUAUUUUAAACAGGAUGAGCGGUAAUUUUAGAUCGACGAAGGGUUCGAAGGGCCAAAGGUCCGAAUCGUCUGAGGGAACCUCUAGCAACCCUCAAACGUCGUUUCGGGGCCUCAUGACAGCCAGACGUGUGGCCCUUCUGGAGACGGCGCAGAGGCAGCCGGAGGUCCCCCGUCAUCGAGGCAGCCGCGUGUCCCUCAUUCCUCGAGGCAGUUGUGGCCUUAGACCCAGACGGAGGUGUCUGCACCCCGUAUGCCUGAGAUACACCAGGCGCCCACUCCGAGUCCUACUACUUCGGAUGGUGGGUCAUCUGGGGUACAGAUGCCGCCGCCGCCUCAUCUGUUCCUUCUGCGGAUGAUACCGGCAAUACCUGCAGUCGAUGGCUCAGGGGCGUCGAUUUAUCUACUGCCCCCGCCAGUGGCUUCAUCAGCGGCGUACCGAUUCGUGCCUUUUGAUACGCCUCUUAUUUCUACGAGGGUAUCAUCAUCGGCGACAGAGGCGGAAUCUGUCGCGUCCGCCGCAUCGCCCUCAGGUAAUGAAAGAUGAAUGAUUUGUUUUCUUAUAAUUCUCCGAUUUUAAUAAACAAUUUGGUUUAUCAUGUGGUAAGCACCGUCGGAGCGAAGCCGGCAAAGAAGAAGAGAGACCCUGUUACAGGGAAGGCUCUCGAGAAUAUGGUCGGUACUUGAGGGAGGAUCCUCAUCCGUACUGACGGGGAUGGCAACAUAGUAUCGGGCGGGAAGUCGAGGACGUACUCCGGCCGCGUGGGAGCCCUCAUUAGGGAUAGAGUCUAUCAGGACCCACCCCGAAUUUCACCCUGAAACCCGAAGUAAAUCCUGCGGGGACCACCUCCAAGGAAAGUUUACCGAAAAUUCGACAUAACCUCUCUUGAAAAUGGACAACCCUUCCGAAUAGUACCUGCAAACACUUCUGAAAAUCCAAAUCCAACCGUAAACUCCUAGAGCCUACGUGCUCCCCAAAUCACAACACCUCCCAAGUUAUUCACUAUUCUAAAUAUAAUCCCAAAUCAAACAAUUCAUUGGUUCAGAGCAACUCUAAAAGGAAUAAAAGAGACAGAAAAACAAAUAAGCGGAAGCUAUAAUACGAACUAUGCCUCGACUCCAAGUACGCCCGACCUCAACUAAGCUAACCUGCAAGCUGGGCAUUUUUAAAACGAAGGGCCCAGGGGAAAACAUUUGAAACCGUUAGAGUGAGUGGACAAGACAGAAUUCAAUAAAAAUAUUUAUGCAUUCGCAAUUAUUAUUUUCCAAAGAAAUUAUGCUGCAUGUAACAAGCUCAAAAACUCUCAACUCAUAAACUGACAAUAACACGACUAGCUCCGGCUAGUCUCCAAAGCUUUAUAAAAUAGAGCCUCUCAGGCUAAAAUAUAUGUAUGUAUUUACACACGUCCAUACUCCCUAUAUAAAUUCAUGGGUCUAUAUAGGGUUACUACGCUCGCGUCCAACGCUUACGUCACGCCUUAAUGCGGUGCUACACUACGCCAUUAAGGUGGACAGACGGGUGUAUAAAUAUGUGUCCAUACCCCCUAUAUGAAUUAAGCACUCAUAUAGGGCUACCUCACGUCCAACGCUCACGUCACACCAUAAUACGGCUAUAUGCUACGCCAUUAAGGUGGACAGACACAUAUGGCUAGCUAGCAUUUAUAUACAUACUCUCCUCAUCAAUAUAUAAUUAUAUUCACCGAAAAUCCCAUUUUCGGUAACUCUUCAAAAGAAAUAAAAUCGUCAAAAUAAAAUGACGUCAAAUGCUCCAACAAAAUAAAUUGCCCAAAAAUCAACCAUUGCAUGCAUAUUAUUUAAAACAAAAGUCCACUCACAGUAUCAGGCCUUAGCCUUCCAAUGCUCGUAAUACUCCUCGAGCUCUGCCCCCAACUAUUCACGCUCUCUAACCAAUCCAAUGUCUGGCGAUAAACAGAAGAAUAAAUUGGUCAGAUCGGACUCCAUAAUAAUCAUCGAUUCAACUUCUUCCUAGUUUGGCUAGGUUUCCUGGGUUGACCAGAAUUGACCAAGUUUGACCAAUUGAUUUAGGGUAGGCCAACUAAUGAAGUUUGGACAUUUCGAAAUUAACCUUUGACUUAACGAUCCGAGUCAAAUCAUCAAAAAUUCUACUAACCAUUACACACUUGGCGUCAUUUAAAUAAUUCAUGAAACACCAAUGCUCCCCAACUUUUACGCUUAAAAGAUCGUUUUGGCAACCUUUGGAAUCGAUUAACCAAACUAGUGUAAAUUCAAAGACUCAAAUAUACGGAACACAUUAAUCCGGAAAACCACUAAAUUACAAAGGGCACCCAAAAAGGGUUUCUAUAAAUAGAAAGUUUCUAGAAAAGGAAAGUUUCCUAAAUUAGAAACUUUCCAAAUAUGGCAAGUUUUCUAAACCGUAAACUACCACUCAACGAAAAGGAAAGUCGCCAAGCUACCUUCACGGGUUCUGCCGGACUUGCUGCCUCGGGAUUCCGGCGACUUGCCAGAAUUUCGCCAUAGCCUCCCCGUAACCUCCAAAUCACCAAGUUAUCGACAACAACAACCAAAACAUUCAUAUUAGCAACCAAACUCCAAUUUUCUCAAACCACAAUCAACACAGCAGCAACCCAAACAACUCUAUAUGCAAGAAGAUUACCUUCAGACGGCAACAAAACUUCUCUUGCCGGCGAUAGCUCUCUUGCCAGAUUCCGGGUUCGUGGUUCCUCCCACAGAGCAGCGGCAACACCUCAAGUCUUCACAACCGAUCGUCUUGGCCUGUUGCUGCUUAGAAGGACGUCAGGAAGGAGACAAGAGGUACUGAAGCCUUAUCAGCUCCAGCAAAACCUGAAACACUUGCCGGAAACCAUUAAAUGCUGGCCGCCGGAGCUAGGAGCUUGAAACUCAGAAAAGAGAAGGAAGGAGUUUCCAGAUUAGGGUCUGAAGCUCACAUUCAAGGACGUAGAAAGGAAGAGGAGAGUGAGAAGAACAAGAAUAUACCCUUCAAAGUCGUCGUCCCUGCCGGAGCUCGCCGGAAAUCGGCAACAACAGUGAAGCACCCAAGCUUUCGAUCUCCAUCGAUCUUGGUUGCACGCGUGAUCUACGAGCUGGGCUAGAAAGGAAAGGAGGAGAGGAAGAGAACGGCGGCGAUCUCGUCGCCUAGGGUGGCUGGACGGCGGCGCUCCGGCGUAGAGGCGACGGAGACGAAAGAGGGAGAGGGAGAGACUCGGUUAGGCUCGUUCAAACCCGACUUGGGUUCUUUGACUGGGUCUGACCAGUCUUCCUCUAUUUAACAUCUUCCUCUAAUUAACAACAGAAAUGGACAGCAGAUAAUCGAUGAUUAAAGAUCAACGACCCAUAUUCUUUGAUAAAUCAUAGAAAAUAGUCCGAAGCUCCUAAAAAUAAUCUGAGGACAUCAGAGAACUCGUGUCAACGCGCUCUACGACCUAGGAGCCUUAAAAGAAGAACUAAACAUUUUGAGAAAAACUCGACAAUAAACUGGAGUGUUAAAUUACUAAAUUACUGAGCACCGUUCAAUUCCUCAGUAACUCGUGGAAUACCUAGUAAAUAGGUAAAAUUGGGUUCGGGAUGUUACAGAGUCCCUAUGUUGUGGUCAGACUGGGGCGAGGUCCCGCAGGAGGUUAAGGAUAUGGUCCACAACGCGAUGUCGGUGAGUUUACAAAAUGCCUCAAUAAUAUUAUGUAUUACAUUGUUGAUUUUUCGAAAAACUAAACUAAUAAACGGUUAAAUGCAGGUGUGGUUUGAGGUUCCCGAGCACCUGAAGAGCAGCUGGGCGGACAUUGUGCAUGGGGGAAGGUACGUUGGGAAGUUAAUGAGAAAACAAAAUUGUAUGUGAUAUUAAUAAUAUUUCUAAUAUUUUUGUUGUAUCUGUAGGUACAAGCAGUGGAAGAACGAGUUGCGGACCCACUGUACUACACACAUGAACGCACGUUCUGGUACCCUGUUGAGUUCCAGUACAAGGAGUAUGAGUGGCGUUGGCUUCUGACAUCAGAAUUCAACAACCCUCGUAAACAUGUAUUUAAAAAAAUUAAUUAGUUAAUUUGUCAUUAAGUACGUGCGUUUUUAAAUAUUUUACUAAUAGUUUAGUUUUUUCUUUGAAUGCUGUUUCCCGGGCGAACGCUCAGAACCGGCAACGCAACACAAGGAACCAUCAUGCCAGUUCUAGACCGUUCGCUAUCUUCAUGGACGAGGCGGCCAGGGAACAUCCAGAAGUCAACCAGUACAUCUAUACAUACGAGAAGGGAUAUCUUGACGCCCAGGAGGAUAUUGUAAGUCAUCUUACGUUUUUUAAUUUUUAAUUUUUAAUUUUACUUAUAUAUAUGUCAAAAUGUUAAUUAAUAAUUUUUUCUUAUCCAAUUAGGCGAAGGUGAGGGAGGCUAGUGACGAGGUGAUGAGUGCUAUAGUGAGAGAGACAUGGCCGGACACGCAGGAGGAAGAGAUGUCCGAAGCCGUGUCCCAGAUCGACACUUCGGAUCUGACGAUUGGGGCGAGGAUCAUGGGCACAGCCUUCCCACCACGAGCAAACAACUUCUACUCUCGGGGUCUAGGAAAGAAGGGCGAGGGGGUCCUAAAGACCACUCCAAGAUUUCAACGAAAGGCAGCCUCGACCAGCAGCAAGACCACGACCAAGACCACCAGGACGACUCAGCUAGAGUCGGAACUUUAGAGACUACGGGAACAGCAAGCUGCUUAGGCUGCCUAUAAUGCCUCGCAGGUAGCCUAUAAUGCCGCGCAGGCAGCCUAUGUUGCCGAGAUACAUGCCAUCCAGCAGCAGCAGAUGUUCCAGUACAUGCAGGACUUUACAGCUGCCCAGCUUCAGGGACUUCCGGCUCCACCCAUGCCUACGGCUAUACCGCUACCCCAGCCGCCGCAACCUCCACAGCAACCUCCGCAGCAGCCCCCAGAAGUGGAUAUUAAUUUAGACGAUCUAGAUUUUGUGUAGUUGAUGAAUUAUAUAUUGUUUUAUGUGCUUAUUGUUGUUGAUUAUAUGGAAUUGUUUUGGUGUAUUUUGCAGCUUGCUUGGAAUAGUAAUUUAGAAAUUUCGGGUUUUUUUUAUUGGAAUGGACUUAUAGCCGACGAAAUACGCAAUAAUUCGUCGGCUAUAGUAUUUUAAAUUUUUUUAAAUAAGGUUUAGCCGACGAAUUAUGGCAUGUUUCGUCAGCUAAACCCUUCUAAAGCCGACGAAACAGACUAUAUUUCGUCGGCUUUAGUUAUUUUUUAAUUUUUAAUUGAACACUUUAGCUGACGAAAAAUUUAAGAUAUUCGUCGGCUAAAGUCUGAGAAAAACCGACGACAUGUUUUUCUUCGGCUAAACUCUGGGACUAUAGCCGACGAAUAUCUUAAAUGUUUCGUCGGCUAAAGUCUGGGAAAAAAACCGACGACAUGUUUUUCGUCGGCUAAACUCUGGGACUAUAGCCGACGACGCCUUCUAGUUUCGUCGGCUAAAGUCAUUGCCGACCACCUUUUUCCGACGAAAUCUUAGCCGACGAAAAAUCGUUGGCUAAGAUCUUAGCCGACGAAUUAAGCUAACAGGCCGACGAAACUUUUUCGUCGGCUAAAGUACUUGUCCUGGUAGUGAUUUGAUAAGCGAUAUGCUUAUAUUGACACUUUACUUUUAGGAUUUUGCUUUUAACAAAGUCUUUUAAGAUCCUCAUAAUAUACGAUGACAACUGCCGUAAGUCUUUCGUCAAUAAAUAUAUGUAACACUGUACUUACAGAAAAUUGUCACGUAUAAAGAAAGAUAUUCGUAAUCCCCAUGUGUCUUGUAGACAUUAUGCCAGAGUGAUUUAUUUUCACUGUGAUUAAUACUCUUUUGUAUCAUGUAGGGUUAAAGGUUUAAGUAUCUCAUCAUUUUUUAGAUAUUCAGUUUAAUUGGAAUUGCCUCUAUCCAAUUUUGUCCAAUAAUAUGAUUUGCCGACAUUCAUAAUGAAACGUGAUAUUGCAUCAUACAGUCCUUAAUGGUCUUUGGUAGCCACCAUAUGUAAAUUUCCAUUGAUGAUCAUCAUUUAUAGAUCUCAAACAUUCAUAUAUGCAUGCAUUAGCUACUAUGAGCUUAUUGAUAUUGGGUACCCAUGCCACUUCUGGGGCAAAUAUUGUCACUUCUACGACAAACAUCUCUCAUAGAUGAAUUAUAUCUAGCGAAUGUGGAUCUAUAUUCAUAAUAUCAUAAAACAUUAUAGGAUCUAUAUAAUCUUCCAUUUUCAGGAGCUUAAAACUUUAGACCUAGUAGUGGAUACAUUCCACUCAGAUUCACGCCGUUAUUUAAAUGACAGUAGUCUUUUCUCUCCCCUUAACGGCGAGAAUCGAACACUGUCUUAUCAUGACCAUGCUUAAAAAUACGUUUAAAUGUCUAUCACUUCCUUUCGAGUAAAGAUGUCCAUUGGCUGGUGGCGAACCCAAAUCAAGUGUAAGGUCAAAAAUAUUAAAUUCACGAGUAUCAACCAUAUUGAUGUAUUUUUGUAUGACCAAGAUAUCAUCAUCUGAUGGUGUACUUUUAACCUUUGUAUGUGUAAUAUUGUAUUAGAAAUUAGGACAUUUUUAAUGACAUUUUCGUCAGGAGAACCAUGUCACGUAGAUACACAUUCCUCCCACAAAUCAAAUGGGGUCAAGGUUGUUUUGUUAAUAUGGUGAGUCUCAUAGAUUUUAACCUGAACAAAUGUUUUUGUGCUAACAUAUAGUUUUGUCAUCACUAGCUUUAAUAAAUCACUAGCUGAGAUAUUUCUCAAUGCUCAAAAUGAGACAGUAGGUGAAAUAUCUUACAACAAUUCAUGUCGUUCUUCACGAAUAAUGUUUCUCCCCCUCAUAACAAGAGGAGUGUCUCAUUAAGGUGAUAAACCAAAACAUAUACGAGGCAAAUUAACAAUUUGCUCAAAAUAGCGUUAGUUAGCGGUCAUCAAGAGUUACUGAUUUUAAGUAACAUUUUAUGUAAAAUAUGACGUAACUAGUCAUGCCAAAAUAAUGUAUAUUCUGUUCAAUGAACUUUUGAUUCAUGACAUUAUGUGUCUCACUUUUCUGUAGGAUUUCACACGUAAUAGGCCGCAUAGCGAGAUACUGUGUGCUUUGGACCUCGUCUCAUAAUUUUGUUCUUGAGUUGCCAAACCAAAAUUAGUCUCACUAUGGGGAGGUAUGUUUGCAACAUCUGCUCCCCUCCUUCGGGUGAGGUAGGAUCUCACAUCACAGUAUGUGUUAUAUAAUCUGAGGACAUUCUGGGGGCGCGCACUUAAUGUAAAAAUGGGAUAGUAUGUACUCUUCUAAAGCCAUCAUUCAUAUAUAUAAUCGAAGCUUCAUGUCCGAUUAUAUAAUGGUAGAACUACAGGUUCUUAGAAUGUUAACUUCAAGUUAACUGUUGCUCGAAACUUCAGGCUCGAGUAACUCAAGUGAAACUUCAAAUUCACUUUUAAGUCAUUGAUAUUUUAUACUCAAAACUUCGGUUCGAGUUUCUGCUGUUAGAACCCUGGUAACUCUUAUGAAAAUUUUGAAAAAUAUUUCACUUGAAAAUUAUAUGUUUUGAGAUAUAGGAUUGUUAGCCCUUAUGAGUAACAAUAAAGUUUAGAAGAGGAAAAUAAUUAACAAACUCUAAAAUGGUAAGGAACAAGAAUAAAUAAAAUGUGACAAUGGAAACUUCUGGUUCCAUAAGAAGUACAAGAACUUCUAGUCUAGUUACCUUCACGAAUAUGAUAAUCUUGUUUCUCUCCUCUAAUUUCACAACAACAUUGUAUCAAAAUAAAUAGGAGCUUCAGGUCUUCAUAUAAUUAAGGAUGAUAAGAAAACCAUAUUGUAUAACUCUGAGAAGUUUCUGGUCCUUGUUGAUUUCAUAAGAGGGUCCAAUUACCCAUUUUCAUUGAGAACAAGCUUGACAAAAUUAUAUGUUUUGUCAACAAUGGAUGACCAUUGGAAUUUGUAUAAAAAUAUUCUACAUAUCAUUAUAGAUCUAGAGUGACUUAAACGGUCAUGCCAAAGCAUAAAUGUAUCGUUGUCCUUGAACUUCUGGUUCAUGACAUGACAUGUCUCAAUAGACUUAAUGGUUGUGUAAUAUAAACCAAAUAAUAGGUCAACCAACAUUUUCAAUACGCGGCUUUGGCUGAUAAUAUAUGACAUGACAUGUCUCAAUAGACUUAAUGGUUGUGUAAUAUAAACCAAAUAAUAGGCCAACCAACCUUUUCAAUACACUGCUUUGGCUGAUAAUAUAGGAAGUAAUGAAAACAUAUGCCACAUUCUUGUCGUUUGUGGUCCGAAAAUGAAAUCCAUUCAAACAAAUAUCCUUGAAACUUAGGAAAUUCCUGCUUGGUCUAGGAGAGUACAAAGACUCUUUAACGGGCAACUGAGUUCCAUUUGGAAGACUAAUGUGGGCUCUUCCGGAGCCUUCAACCAAAUUGGCAAUACCAUAUAUGGUGGUCGCAUUAGUUUAAGAAGGUACUUAGAUGGAGAAAAUUUCUGAUCACGAAGGAUUAUAUGUGUGGUGGCAUUGUCAGCAAGAUAAUUAUCUUCUCCAAUUUUAAAUUGAGUGUGUUCAUGAUCCAUGUUCAUACCUUCAUAAUAAAAUGAAAUAAAAUAUAAGCAACAAUAGAAUAUAUUACCGCAACAAAUGAAAUUAAACGUAAUAAUACGAUAACUAUCAUCAAUGAAUACCCGUCCAGAAAUUCAUAGAUUAACACUAGUCUAGGAAAAACAACUAUGUUGUACCGUUACUUUUCCGAUCAAAAUAGAGUGAGAUGAAGAAGAUAACUAAUUGACUCGUAAGGAUACGAUAAGCUCCGCUAAAAAAUUAGUGAAAAACAAACUUUAUAUGUACACUUUACCUGAUCGUCAGUUACUAGACCAAAAUCAACAAUGAGGAAAUUACUAGAUGCAAAGCAUGUUACGCGUUGGAAAGAGAAGAGGAUGCCCGGUCAUGACGGAAGAUAAAAUUUUGUUUUAUUAUCACAUAAUAAAAGUGAAAUUAAGAACCGUUAUUAAUAACAGUAACUUACACAAUAGUGAGAUAAUGGUGUUAGAAAUCAUGGUAAUAAAAAAAAAAAACUAUUGAUAACAACACCGAAUAAUAAAAAUGGUAAUAUGAAAAGUCAUUAAAAAAAUAACUGAUCACAUGAUGGUAGUAAACUGAGUUAAUUAUUUCAGUAACUCCCACAUUAAAUCAAUAACUCACACAUCAAUUCAAUAACUCCCACAUAAUGCAAGUAAAAGAAUAGUAAUAGUCUCAUUAACAUGGUUGCAACUUGCAACUAAUGUUCAUUACUACAACAAUAAUAGCAAUAAUCAAAUAUCAUCAUUUGUUGAUCACAUCAACAUGUUUCUCAUUGUCCACAAAUUGUCUAGAUGAAUCUCAAUGAGACUAAUUAGUACGUAUGAUUGAAUUUAGCUUUAUUGCCUUUGUUAAAGGGCUUCGUAGAGAGCCACUAAAUGUUAAGGCAUGCGUCAAAAAUGGUUACUAUAGCCACAGCUAUAGCCAUAUCAGGAUCCAUAUUAGAAGACGCAAAUAUGUCCAUUCAUGGCUCUUGGUAGAACAAUGGUUCUUAAUGUCGUAUAUUGAAUAUGUGUUCAAAAGUCCCAUAAAAUUAUCCAUAAAAAUGCAUAGAAUUACACCAUGAUAUUGCAAAACUCAUCCAAACAAAUGGGAAUAAGAACCAUAGAUUCUUUAUCUAAAUCAAUAAUAUAUAGACCACUUAUAAACUCAUAGAUCAUGGUUCAUGGUCUUAAGCAAUAAUCUUGCAUCAGAGACCACAUCAAUCAUGCAUCAUGGAUCCAAUUAUGUUGUUUAGAAUUUCAUGUUCAUAAGAAAAAAAAAUAUCAAUAUCGAAAUUUCAAGUUUGAAUCUUGUGAACAAUGGAUCACAUGUACAUGCAUAAAACUUUAGGUUUAUGCUUACACAAUUAGAUCUCCAAUUCUAAUGUAAUAUUGAACUUCAGGUUCACAAUCUCAAAAAUGAUUAUUAGCGAAACUUCAGGCUCACUAAUAUAAGCAAUUAUAAACAUAUAAUUGAGCAAUAUAAACAAAGUAUAUAUGUAGACAAGAUAUAAUCAAAAUAGAAGCGAACUCAUAGAUCGUGAGUAUGAAUAAUAAGCAACAAAAGUUGCAUCAAUAUCUCAUAGAUCAUCAUGGAGUUCAUAGAACGAAUGAGCGAAUUCGUGCUGAUAACGUGUUAUAAACUAAAGAAUAUGUAGAGAGAAAAAGAAGAACAACAUGUAGGAGGAGGAAGAAGUUUCACUUUCAUUCUCAUUAGGCUCCUUUAUAUAGGAGUAUGAUUUACAUCUUAAAGACAUAACUAAUGAGUAUUUACAAGGACAUCCGCAUAUAUUAUAAUAUUUACAACAUCUUUUUUAUAAUUGAUUUUGUAAGCUUUAUUUCUUGGAUUAAUUUCAGUUUAACCUCUAGGUUUAGGGUGAACAUCAUUUCAGUCCCCAUACUCUUAAUUUUGAAAAUUUACCCCUAAAGUUCUAAUUUUCAUAAAUCAAGCCUAAUUGCUAAAAUUCCGUCCAAUUUGGACGUUAAAUGCUAGCAUGAAAUCUUAGAAAAAUGGUCCUAAAAGGUGAUUUAUGUUGUUAUAUGACUAUUUAAUUUAGCCCUUAAAAUGAGUUAUGAAGUCAAAAUUAACGUCCAAAUUAGACGGAAUUUCAGCAAUUGGGCAUGUUUUAUGAAAAUGGGAAACUUUAAGGGGUAAAUUUUCAAAGAAUUGAAAUUUAUUUAGUACUUGUGGUUUGAAGUCGACAUUUGUUCAGUCAUUGUGGUUUUAUUUUAACCUGAAUGAUCCUUAAAGUCACGAUUUUUCAUUCAAAUAGUCAUUCCGUCAAUUUUUUUUGUUACAACACUGAUGUGACCUUAAAGACAUUGUAAUUUUUAACGGGCACGUCAACCAUUUAACUGAGAAAAUUGAUGGAAUGACUAUUUGGAUGAAAAAUCGUGGCUUUAAAGACCAUUUCAGAUUAAAAUAAAACUAUAAGAACUAAACAUAUGUUGACUUCAAACCACAAGAACUAUACAGUAUUUUACCCAUUUUCAAAAUUAAGAGUAUGUGGACUGAAAUGAUGUUAACCCAAACAGUAAGGGGGGGGGGGGGUUAAACUGAAUUUAAUUCUUCUUAGAAAUGCCAGAGUAGUUAAAGUUCAAUGAAUAAUAAUUAUGAAUAAUAAUUAUGGAUUAUAAUUAUGGAUUGAAAUAUUCUUCUUAGAAAUAUUCUUCUUUGAAAUAUUCUUCUUAGAAUAUUCUUCUUAGAAAUAUUCUUCUUAAAAUAAGCCUAGAGUAGUUAAAGUUCAAUGAAUAAUAAUUAUGGAUUGAAAUAUUCUUCUUAGAAAUGCCAGAGUUAAAAGUAUAAUUAAGAAUUAAAAAGUUUACCCAAUUGUAGUUUAGAGGUGAAUUCAUGUUAGUCCAUAAACUUUUAAUUUCAUCAGAUUACCCCCCGAGUUCUUGUUUUUCUAUCCGCCGUCUCCUAUCACUUAUGCUCCAUCCAAUUGGGACGUUGAAAUUUGAUGACAUGUGGUGACGUUUUGGGGGUUGAGAAGCUAAAUUACCAGAAAAACAAGAGCUCGGGGGAUAAUCUGAUGAAAUUGAAAGUUCAUGGACUAACAUGAAUUCACCUCUAAACCACAAUGGGAUAAACUGAAUUUAAUUCUACAUUUUUAAUUCCAGGGGGUAAACUGUUUCAAAUAAUUACAGUUAUAUACUGAGUCUUGAACUAAAUAGUGACAACUGUCAACUCAAUCAAGACUUCAAAAAAAGAAAAGCUAACAGAGACCCCCUUUUUUCUGCUCCUUUUGAAACGGAAACUAAACAUUUUUCCCAACAAAAAAAAAAAAGGAAACUAAACAUGUAAAAUACUCAUAGAACAAUUCAUACCUCAAAGCUGAAAAUCGUGUUGAAUAAGUUUUAGUACUUUUAUCGAGUUCCAUUUUCAUUUCUUCAUCGGCUCUCUGUUUCUUGUAUCUUUUUCAUUCUUUCACCUUAGACGAAAAACGAAUCAUUUCUAAACACACCGACUCCUCAAUGAAGAGAACUUACUGUUUUCGAAACCAAAAUGCAUGCCACAAGCUUGAGUGGUUCUGAAUAAUAGAGAAACAUAAAGAAGAUUUGUGCCUAAUUUCAGUUGAGAGCAGAACAUUAUCCGUUGUUGGGGUUUGUUGCCAAAUUUCAGGGCAUAUCCAAGUUUCUAGUAGAUUAGCAACAUGUCAUAUGCAUAACUUAAUUCGAGAUUUACGUAUCUUGAAAAGUUUUGGAGCCUGUUGUCGAUCGCGCCUAUACCUAGCUAGAAUGAUUGAGGUCAAGUGGCAUAUCCCCCCAUCAUUGGAUGGAAUAAGAUAAAUUCGGACGGUGCUUGGAAGCAUGAAGAGGGUAUUGGAGGAUUCAGUGUUGUUUUCUGCGACUAUAAAUUUCAGUUUGUUGGAGCUUUUACUUGUAAUAUUGAUAUUCCGAGUUCCAUUGCAGCAGAGGUGAUGACAGUUAUCACAAUUAUAACAUAGAGCUUGCUUGGGUUCGUGAUUGGAAGCACAUUUGGUUAGAUGUAGACUCUUCUACUGUACUUGAUUAUAUCUGCUCUCCUUCGCUUGUGCCUCGGCAACUUCGAGUUAGAUGGUUGAAUUGCCUGUACAGGAUCUCUAAAAAGACUUUUAAAUCUUCUCACAUAUUUAGAGAAGGGAAUAGGGUAGGAGAUGCUUUAGCUAAUCAUGGAACAUCUCUGUCGGAGCAAGUAUGGUGGGAUGUGCCUCGUCUAUUUAUCUUGAUGAGAGUGAUCUUUUGGGUCUUUCACAGUUUCGAUGCUGUUAAUUCGUUUGUUUUACUUCUAUCAGUAUUUGUUUUAGAGGUUAUUUGUAUUAUAUGACUGGCAUUUGCCUAGUUCUCCAGCUUCUUAUACUUUUUUUAUUUUAUCAAUAAAUUUUUGUGGAGAGACGAUGAGUUUGUCCCUCUACAUUUACCCAAGAAAAAAAACAGAAAGAAGAGAAAAUUAAAUGCGUAGUACUAGCUAGCACUCAAAACUAGUGCAGACAACAAAAAUGAUGUUAAACUAACGGCUACAUAUCAGACAGAAUGUGUGCCAUUAAUUGCGUAGUUGCAUAGAAUCUGCAAAACAAACUUCAAGAACACUUUCAUAGUUUCGAAUAACAAAAUCAUGCAUUUUCAUGCAUCUAUUCCAGAGGAAAUUGGCACUGGAAAAUGCGUACAGAUCAAAUUAACACAACAAAAGAUUAGAAUGAUACCAAGUGGAAAAUUGAGUACCUCAAAGGAUGAAUUAAUGACAAAAGAUUAAGAUGAUAUGAAGAAGUGGAAAAUUGGAUACCUCAUAGGACUCAUCAUCAGAUGAAAAAGGACCUUACAAAAUCAGAUGAAAAGGAGGAAUCAAUGACGAGGGAAACACACUGGUAAUAGAAACUUGUAGUUACCACUUGAUUAACUUUAGCUUUGUACCCGGAUGUAACACAAGACUGGAGAGAUCUAAACUUAUCGAGCAUAUCAACAUUUUUCAUCCGAACAGACAGGGGCGUAGGCACAACCUCUGACAUUUCAAACUAACUUUCUAUUGGCUGGGGCAACACAACAAGAAUAUAUAUUACACUUUGAAACAAGAUUUUACCCUUGGACAACACUUGAACAACUGUAGCCCUUGAUUAUCGUAUUUGCAGUAAUUGCCGGUAAGUCCUGGAACUUGCUGAUUUCUAUAGACCGUUGGGAAGAAUUUCUUCAGAAAAUCGGGCAUCGAUGUAACACCCCCUACAUCAAACAAGUUCAGAUUGAUUAAUACGUUAGUUUUUUCUAGCUAGCCCAUAGGCUAAUAGAUUGGGAGUGAGCCAAGCACAUACCUGAUAUACCAACAUCAUAGCCAAACAUGAGGCCACCGGAAGCGGCCAUUAAGCAAGAACUUACCACGAGCGGAGUGAUCUUUGCUUCGAAUUCUUUGCCUCCAUUUGCCGCUCCAUGCCAUCCCAUGGCUUCUGCUUGUUGCAAAAUCUAGGGUUAAGACCUCACGAAAGUUGAAAAGAUGAUCAAGAGUAAGAGAAUAGACUAGCUUGGUGAAUGGUGAUACGUACAUUGUGCAUGCUAGUCUAUUCUCUUAGAGACAAUUAACCUCAAGUUAACAGCUUCCGAGUCGGAAAUGGUGUCCGAGAGUUAACAGCUCUCGAAUUGGAAUUAGUAUCCGAGAGCGAGAGUUAAACAUCUUUCUCAUUGGAAUUGGUAUCCGAGAGUUAACAGCUUUCGAAUUGGGAUCACUGGUUAUGUUCUUGUUACUUGGUUAUUAGUCAAACAUGCAUGCGUAUAUUUGAUCCAUAGUUCAUAGUAAUAUAUUAGGGAAAAUGUCCAUUUGCACAAAAACACCAUAAUAAGAGCUCAUGCCAAUGAAAAUUGUUUCCAGCAGCCCAUUUAAACAAAUCUUAUGAAAUUGACUAUAUUGCCCUCGCAUCACUCAACCAUAACUCUCUCUUCGUCCCGAUCUGAAACAAACUCUCUCUCUCUCUCUCUCUCUCUCUCUCUCUCUCUCUCUAGCCGAGUUGCUCCACCAGAAACCCAAAACCGCCGACCAACGCCGGCGACCGACGACCCGCCUCGAUCUCCUCUUCCUUAUCUGGAUCCAGCCUCCUCAAACCCCUACCUCUCUCUCUCUCUUUCCAACUCCAGAUCGGAGCUCGACUUUCUCUCUCCCUCCCUCGUCUCCGCCGAUCCAUCCCCCGGCGCCUUGUCCUCCCUCCACAAGCUCACAGUUUGCUGCCCCGGCCUCCUCCACUCCGACGUCCUCUUCGACCACCAGUCUUCCUCCUCCUCCACCCAAAUCAUCCACCACCACCCGCUGUCACCAGAUUGCUCUUGGUCUCUCUAUGUAUUUCGACACAGUUUACGACACCUUUGAAGCCGCCACCAUCGUACCCUCUGAACCCCAAAGCGGCAGCAUUAGUAAUUUUUUUAACUAGGGGUAAGUAAAUAUUUUACUGGAGGUCAAUAAUUAGAAAAUUACUGGGGGUCAGUAAUUUUUCUUUUGGUUUUGUUUUGGUUGGGAAUUGUCUUCUUCUUCUAUUUUCUUUGUUUUUCUGUGUUUUGACAGAUUAUUGGGGUUAGUACAAAGGUCGAUAGAAAAUUACUGGGGAUUAGUAAUUUUUCCUUUGGUUUCGUUUUGGUUAGGAAUUGCCUUCUUCUUCUAUUUUCUUUGUUUUUGUGUGUUUUGACAGAUUACUGGGGUCAGUACAGAGGUCAAAUAGAAAAUUACUAGGGGUCAGUAAUUUUUCUUUUCGUUUCGUUUUGGUUGGUGUAGUCGGUUGUGCAUAAAACAACCUCCCAAGCCCGUAAACCAACAGACAUUCCACCACAACCGAGGCUGCCCCGAGGUUCCCGCCCAUAAAUCGGGUGGGCCGGGCCCUACCUCGGUGGCAGCAUUGGGCCGGGAACGGUUUCAGAAGGCAUAAGGGAGUUGGGUGUUUUAAGUAACAGCAAAGGCAGUUGUCCCACAUCGAUUUUCAAGUAAAGAGAACCCACUCUGGGCCAUAAAUAUGGCCCAGCCACCAGCUUGUCAGGUAUGAUUAACUACCCUUAGUAAUUACAUUGAACCACCAAAUACUGACUUAAGCUUCGAAGGAAGAAAGACCGGAAGCCCUCGGUCAUCCUUGUUAUUACAGGUCAACGAGAGGAUAGUCUAUCAUUCGACAAACACGCAAUCAGUUUCUGCAAUCUCAUCCGGGAUUGUACAAAAACAUUUGGCGCCAUCUGUAGGAAUCUUUACAAAAAGCCAGCGUGACUCGAUGGUUGAGUUAACUGAGCAGCAAGAGUAGGAGGCAGGACGGGGAGAGCAGAGGGAGGUAAUAUUAAGAAGGACCCCGGAGACAGAGGGGGGGAGUUCAAGAAUAAUGGGGAGAACCUCGCGGGAUGACACACCAGAGUAUGUGCUGCGAGAUCUCAAUCCCCAAGAGGUAGCGGAGAUGUUGGAAGAUAUGAGGGCCCAAAUCACUCGACUGGAGCAACAAAGUGUCAGGGACCGAACGGAAGCCACAGGGAGGGAGCGUAAGUUAGAGAGAGAUAACGCCACGCUCAUGAGUGCAUUAGCCCGAGCGGUUGAACAUCGAGAGGCGUUAGAUCGAGCCAGGGAGUCAGAUCGAGCGGCCACGUCUCAACAGACGAGCACUCCGGUUGGGACGAAUGGUAGGACAAUGCAUAUUGGGACGAACUUGUUCCCCGAUGAAAUGCGAGACGAGGGUCCGCCACCCUUGCCAGAGCCAAUCCCGGAAGUCAGAAGACCGGGAGAGAUAGAGGAAACCCUAAGAGCUAUCCGGGAUAGCGUGGCGAGUUUAGUUGACCGAAUCUCUGACGCCGAGAAAAGGGGGACCCGAAAUCCAACCCGCACGAGUUUCGAAGAAAGGGGGGACCGUUCACAAGAAUGAUCACCUGGACCGUCUGACCAAACACAGCCAAGCCAUUGAAACUUAGUUACAAUGGGGAUCGUGACCCCAUCUCUUCCUUGAUAGUUUCAAGUCUCACACGAAUGCUAAAGGAUACUCGGAUGCGAUAUACUACAAUAUGUUCUAGGAAACUUUAGCAGGGGAAGUGCUAAGUUGGUUCUACGAGCUCCCGUCGAACUCGGUCGAUUGCUUCCGGAAGCUGGCUAAUAGGUUAGUCAAUAGGUUUAUUUUACUGACGGACGGGCAGAACACCGGCCAGUUAUUUAAAGUAAAGCAAGAUAGGGGAGAGGGAUUGAAAGCUUUUGUGAACCGUUGGCAAGGUGCCACAACCAGAGUCAGGAGCUUUGACAAGAAGGUUGCAGAGGAGGCGUUCCUUCAAGGAUUGCUUCCUGGGAAGUUUCUGUGUGUAGUAAAAAUCGAUAGUCCGCAAGGCUACGACGAGCUUAUGGACAUGGUGAUCAGGCAUGCACAAACGGACCAUGAUACUUAUGGGGGGACCUCGGCUGGGAAAAAGAAGGUCGAAGGGAGAGACGGGCGAGUCCCUGGUGCAAGCAAUCCAGGAGGUCGGAGCCUAGAAGGGAGAACGAGAGCUGGACACGUACUCAAUAGGAAAAAGGCACAAGGAAAGGAGGAGGGGAAAGGCAUGGAUGCAGUAUAACGCGCAAGGGAAGGCGAAAGGACCCUACCAGGAUACCGGGAACGCGAGGGCGGCGCCAACCGCCAAGGAGCAUUUCUCAGCGCUCAACGCCACUUACAAGGCGAUAUGGAACGAGAAUAAAUCUGUCAUUCCGCCUCCCCUGGCCCGGAAGUUUCCCGCAUCUCGUCUCACCAAGGAAGACACUGAAAAAUUUUGUGGGUAUCACGGGGAAGUAAGCCAUAACAUUAACAGCUGUAGAGAGACGGGUGAAGGAAGGAAAACUGCAGCAGUAUGUGCCUGGGCCAAGGCACGUAGGGGCCAUUGAGGUAUAUGGGACGAUCAACACCAUCCAUGGCGGGUCCUGUAUAGAUGACAGGAGCAACAAGGCAAAAAAGCAAUGUACGGGAAAGAAGGAUGGCUGGGAAAUCUUCGCCUUUGGAAGUAGCAAUAACCAGCAGGUACCCACCGGUUAGAGGUCUGUUACCUUCUUAGAAGAGGAAGAUGAGGGAAUAAGGCAGCACGAGGAUACGUUCCUAAUAACAUUGCAGCUCGAUCACUAUAUCACGAAGAAGAUCCUCGUUGAUAUAGGAGCCUCAGUCAACGUGUUAUUCAGGAAUGCCUGGAAAUGACUGCAUUGAGGAAGUAACAAGUUGAUGCAAGACCAUGAGCCGUUGAUCAGCUUCUCGGGCGAUGUUGUUUAGCCCCUCAGUUCAGACAGCUUUGGAGUAAGCAUGGAAGGCCGAGAGGGCGUUGCCCGAGCGAUAAUAGAAUUUAUCGUUGUGGAUUGUAAGUCGUCCUACAACGGGAUCUUGGGAAGGCCGGUAUUGUGGAAACUAAAGUCGUUUGUUGCUAGUCACAUGUUGAUGAUGAAGCUCCCAACCCCAACGGGAAUCAUUACGAUCCAGGGAGAUCAAGGGGCGUCAAGGAGUUGUUGUGCGAUAGACAACGGGAGGAAAAUGUCAGAGGUUCUAUCGGCCAGUCAGGCCGCAACAUCCCCCUUGGAUCCUUACAUAGAUCCCAAAGAUGAUACCGACUCGGAUGAGGAGCGUCCGGGACCAGCGGAGGAAACAGAAGUGGUGUCAGUUUCAGAUGAGUUCCCGGAUCGGCAGGUGACCAUCGGGUCGGGGCAGGCACCCGGUGUGCGAACGGCCCUUGUAGACUUCUUGAAGAGAAACAGUGGAGCAUUCACUUGAACGUAUAAGGAGAUGCCCAGGAUAUCAAGUGGAAUAGUAACACACCAGCUUGGAAUCCAGAAAGGAUUCCCUCUCGUGCGGCAAAAGCGAAGAACGUUUAAACCGGAGAAGUAUGAAGCAAUGAGGGGGGAAGUGCAAAAAUUGAUGGACAUCAGGUUCAUAAGGGAGGUUAGAUACCCCCAGUGGCAAGCCAAUGUGGUCAUGGCUCCAAAAAAGUCAACAAGACAAUGGAGGAUGUGCGUCGACUAUUCAAAUCUCAACAGGGCGUGCCCAAAUGAUAGCUUCCCGCUCCCACGCAUAGACCAGUUGGUGGACUCAACGUCCGGAUUUUAAUUGUUGAGCUUCAUGGAUGAGGAGCACACGACCUUCACGAUUGACAAGGGCCUAUAUUGCUAUAAAGUAAUGGUUUUCGGACUGAAGAACGCGGGAGUCACCUACCAGCAGCUGAUGAAUGUCAUGUUCGCCGAGUACCUCGGGAAGAUUAUGGAGGUAUAUGUCGAUAACAUGCUGGUCAAAAGUAUAAUGGUCGAGGAGCAUGUGGGGCAUCUGGAGAAAGUCUUCAAGGUCAACUGAGGUACGAGAUGAGGUUGAACCCUUAAAAGUGCAUAUUCGAAGUGAUCAAAGGGAAGUUCCUGGGACAUGUAAUUAGCAGGAGGGGGAUAGAAGCCAACCCGAAAAAGAUUCAAGCCAUUUUGGACAUGGAAAGACCCAAGGAAAGGAAUGAAGUGAGUUCGUUGGCCGGGAAGAUCGUCGCCCUUGCCAGAUUCGUGUCACUACUCACAGAUAAGUGUGCCCCUUUCUUUCGGCUGUUGAAAGAGCAGUGGUGUAAGGAGAUAAUGUGGGGAACCGAGCAGGAAGAGGCAUUCAAACAGAUAAAGGCAUACCUCACAUCCGCGCUGGUUUUGUCAAAACCGAUCCCGAGCGAGAUGCUUUUCUUAUACAUUGCGGCAUCGCAGUUAGCGGUCAGCUCAGUGCUCAUAAGAAAGGAGUCCGACAUCGAGCAUGCAGUGUUCUACACCGGGAAAGGAUUCAUACCGCCCGAGAGCAGGUACCCGGACGUCGAGAAAUUAGCCUUGACACUUAUCGUAACCUCUAGAAGGCUCAGACACUAUUUCCAAGCACACUCGAUAACCCUUUAUACCAACCACCUCCAGAGGCAGAUCAUGCAAAAACCAGAGAUCAGUGGGAGGCUAGUAAAAUGGGCCAUUGAGUUGGGAGAAUUUGAUAUCCAUUACCGGCCAAGAGUGGCUAUCAAAGGCCAAGCAGCGGUCGACUUUAUAUUCGAGCUCACGCCCAUGAAAGUAAUGGGGCAAUCAGCCGAGUUCACGCCCAUGGAAGUGGUGGGAGAAUCGUCCAAGGUCAAACGGGAGGAAAGUGAUCCUGGGCCGGCCGUGAAGGCACACAUUGAGGAGCCACCGACGCCACUUUGGAAGCUUUUUAUUGAUGGCUCGGUGACGAGAAAUGAAAGCGGGGCGGGAAUAAUAUUGGAGACCCCCGAUGGAUUUAAACACAAGUACGCCCUGGAAUUUCAGUUCAAGACAUCAAACAAUGCGGCAGAGUACGAAGCCUUAAUUGGGGGAUUGCAACUCACCCGAGACAUCGGUGUGGAGAGAGUGGAAGUGUUUAGUGAUUCACAGUUGGUUGUAAAUCAAGUCAAUGGGAGCUUUGAAGCUAAAGAGCCUCAGUUACACUCUUACCAAGCGCUAUCAAAAGCCUUCAUGCUGCGUUUCAAGUCGGCCUCUCUCUCUCACAUGCCCCGUAAGGAAAACAGUAAUGCAGAUGCCCUCGCCCGGCUAGCCACCGGAGAGCUUGGGAAAGGCAGAAAGAAGGCAAGGAUUGAGGUGCUAGGAAAACCGAGUAUCAGUAAAACAAUCUCGGAGAUAUUCAUGAUCGAGGCGGGACUCGGAGAGCCUACGUGGAUGGACCCCAUAAUCGUGUUCAUGAAGGAGGGGGUGCGCCCGGAGGACAGGCAGCAAACACGAAAAUUACAAUCGAGAUGUGCAAGGUACACACUCAUGGGCGGGAAGCUAUACUGCUGAGAUUACAGUUUCCCAAACCUCAAGUGUGUGAUAGAGGAGGAAGGAGAAGUGAUCACGGGAGAAAUCCAUGAAUGGGUGUGUGGGAAUCACUCUGGAUCCCGGUCAUUUACGCAUAAGGCACUCCGCACAGGGUUCUUCUGGCCCAACAUGGGCGCCAUGGCAAAUAAGAUGUCGGCGAGAUGCCGUAAAUGCCAUUUGCACGCUAACGGGAUACAUUCCCCUUCUAUUGCUCUAUCAAUAUUAUUGUCACCCUGGCCUUUUGCACAGUGGGGCCUUGAUCUCAUUGGGAUACUGCUAACGGCGCCCGGGCAGUUCAAGUACGUAAUAGUGGCCAUUGACUACUACACGAAGUGGGUGGAGGCAGAGCCCUUAAGGAAGAUAACCACCUAGUGCGUAAAGAAUUUCCUGAUGAAGAAUAUAUAUUACAAAAUCGGGGUCCCGAAGACAAUAGUCACGGACAAUGGAACACAAUUUAACAACAACCAUCUGAUCGAGUUCACGAAAGACAUGGGCACUAAGAUGGUUUUCGCGUCGGUGGCACACCCACAAACUAAUGGUCAGGUGGAGGCAGUUAACAAAAUCAUUAAGAAGCUUAUGAAGAAGAAGUUAGACGACGCAAAGGGUAUGUGGGCACAGAAGUUGCCAGAGGUAUUAUGGGCAAUCAAGACCACGACAACUGAAGCAACGGGAGAGACGCCGCAUGGCUUUUGGCAGAGAGGCUGUCUUGCCAGUCGAAACGUUGAUACCAUCGAGAAGGGUCGAGAACUUCGAUGCCACCACCAACGAGGAAGGCCUCUGGUUGAAUAUUGAUCUUAUUGAGGAAAGGAGGGAGAGAGCAGACUUGCACAACCAAGUCUAUAAGCAGCGAGUUGCAUGCCAUUACAAUAGUAAAGUCAUGACCCGGACGUUGGGAUAAGGGGACUGGGUAAUAAAGAAAAUCAUGACCAAGACGGCGGCCCUGGACCCAACUUGGGAAGGACCGUACGAGAUCAUUGAGGAGGUCGGCCCAGCAACUUUUUUUCUCCAAGAUCAGGAUGGGAUAGUCACCGGGCACUCGUGGAAUACGAAGCCCCUGAAAUUCUACCCAGUCUGAAGGGGGACGAGACCCAUUUUACAUUUUUGUAAAAUGUAUAUUUGUAAGUGUUGUUGCUCCCUCCAAGAGAACAACAAGUCCCGAAGGAUGCCUCCAUUCGUUUCGAAAGAUUUAAUACAAGAAUGGGAAGUUGAAUUCAAAUUCUAAUGAUAGGUAAUCCCCCGAGGGGCAUAAGUUAUUGAACUUCCCAGUAACCCUGAGCGGGAUAGGCACAAUACAAAUUAUAUAACACAAGAAGCAAGCAAUAAAAUGGGAUAACGCAUAAUAUAUUAAAACCCAAGACGUCGAGCGUAUACAACCAAUGGGUAUUAUAAGGCAUGAGGCCAUUGUCUUUCAAAAAAAAAAAAAAGGAAAAACGGCAAAUGACAACUUAUGCCUCGCCAGGGUCCUCUUCCUCAUUCCCGGACGCCUCGGCCAAUUUGUCGUUACCGUCAACGCCCUUCUCAGCAACCUUCUCGGACAGCUCGCCUGCCUCAGGCUCUUUCUCAACAACUGCCUUGGACUUGGCCUUCCUCUCCUUGGCCUCCCGGGCAGCGAGCAAAUCGGCAGUCAUCUUGGCCUUGUCUAGAUACUCAAGGCGGCUCCAGACGCCGAACUUCUCGGUGAUGCCACUCUCCCGGGCAGCCUUGAGCAUAACCUUCAGCUCAUCCGACUCCUUGAAUUUGGCUACAGUAAGCUCGCCCUGGGCGGGAAUCUGGCCUUGUAGAUUUUGCAGAUUAGCAAUCUAGUCGUCCCUUUCCUUCAGUUUAUCCCGUAGCUUUGCAUUCUCCCGUUGAAGCGCGUCUAUAUCACACUCCAAAGUAGCCACCCGUUCAGCUUUUCUCUCCAAAUCCUUGGUAUGAAGGCUGAGUUUGGCAAACUUGUCAGCCAACGAGAACUUCUCCUUCUUCUCGGCCUCCAAGUUUUUCUCCAUCUUCUUCUACUUGGCCCGGAGGUAGCUAAUCUGGUCGUUAAGGCUAGGUAAGCGCUCCUUGAUCCUGUUGGAGUCCUCGCUGACAUCAAUGGCAUAGACGGCAAAAAGAGCCUGCAAGAGUAAAAUAAGUUAAGUACAGCGUCCCGGAUAGUAUGUUGGCGUAAAACAGGAGAAGCCUACCUUCAUCAUCGCCUCCCAGGAGUAUUGCCGGUUCUGCUGAGGAGUGUUGGACCCGAACUUGAUACGAUCCAACUCCACGCCCUUCAGAUCGCCCACCAUGAUGCGGACGAACUUUUCAUCAGCGCACCUGUACUCAUCCAGUAUCUGUCGGAUAGGAGUCUUUUUUUUCUUGGGAAGAGCAGGAGCGAGAGUGCUCAAGGACACCAAGUUACCGGCCGAGGAGCCUGCCAACUUCUGCUUCUUCAGGGGCGGGGAAACUCCAGACACACUCACGCCAGUCAAAGUCACAGCGUCGUCUCUCAGAGACCUCGACUUCUUGGACAGCUGCUUCUUCCUCUUUUUGCCUAAGUUGACGUUGACAACAUUCCCGGUCCUCCCGGGGGCCUCUAUGUUAGAAGAUGGCCUCCCAUACACUUCAUCGGGAAUCUCCAGGAGCACCGGGUCCUCCGAGAGGAGGACGGCAGAGUCCUCGACGUUCACUUCGGUGCGAGCGGCAACUUUCCCCACCUCUAGUAGGUCACUCAGCAAGUCUAUACCAGAAUCCAUGUCGCGCGGGUGUGAGGGACGGUGUUUUCGCCUAGGCACUUUAGCUAAAAGUAAAGUCAACAGUCAAGAUCUUAGGAACCAAGAGUAACAAAAAGCCAAAGCAAUGAGAGAAUAGGAAACGAGCGAAACUAAUUUGGAACCCCACCAGGCAUACGGCCGAGUUCACAGUGAACUAAGACAGCCCAUCGGGUCAGGUUGUACAAGCUUCAAUCCUCGUCCGAGGCCCAGGCUGCAAAUAUCCACCCAAUGCGUCGCUUCUCGAUCUCUAACAGCGAGAAGGAUUGAUCCCGGAUAUAUCUAAACCGGUUGGGCACAACGUAUGUUGGAUAGUUUCUUUGCCAUCGACCACCGGUAAACACGACCUUUGAACGCCAAUUGUUAUUCAUAAAUGUUGGGAGAUCGGUAACGGGAGGCAAGUAGUCCCGAGCGGCAAAUGAAACACACCCGCCAUAGUUCUGUUUUUUCGAGUACGAGUGGCGGUAGAGGGCUCGGAACUCGUUAAUAGUAGGAAAUCUCAUAGGACAAGUAAUACAUUCAGCAAAGGGACAACAACUGACGCCAUUGAUUGGGGAGAAUCUGCCCGGGAGCUAGCUGAAGCAUGCUCAGCUGGCACUGUACGCACUAAGGGAACGGGAGAGAGAAACCGUUCCUAAACAUGUGUUCUGCACGGCAACGAAACCGUCUCUCGGACAGCAUGCCAACUCGCCCUCGUAAAGGCCGCGAAGUGUAAUCGUUGGAGGGAUACCCCAGUUUUCACGGAAUUGUUCUAUCUCGGCCGGGGUCAUGCUGCUCUCUGGCUCGUCGCACACAUUGCCAUCCUCCAAGAUAUAUCGUCUAGCCGAGUUAAUGACGUUGGUCAUCGGGACACCGUGAAAAACUCCGUCUGACCAAUUCACUUCCCGGGCGGGUAUGCCAUGUGGUAACUCAUGCGUAGUCGAAGACGAUUCACCCGGGCGGGACAAUCGACUAAUGUACUCCUCCAUCCUCUCGUCGUCAUCCACAAUCGGUCGAGAGGAUGUUCUAGCCCCACUUAAGUCGGUUGUACUUCAGGAAUCCAUCUGCCCUAGUAUAACAAACCCUAAGAUCUAUUAGUAUGCGCCACCGGGAGCAAGCGCAAAAUUCACAACUUAACACAGCCUAAACUCAGAAAGCCCUAGAAUCCCAAAAUCCCCAGUUUUUACCCAACCAUUGCAAAAGCAACACAACGCAGAGAAGAAAAACAGAGGUACAAGCAGAGGCCCACGCUAAAGUGCAGCAGAACGAAGGAAAAGCAUAGCGCAAAAACUUUACCAGAUUUUCGACGCAGUAGCAACGCCGGAAACUCAGAGGUCCGGAAACACCUCGCAAUCGUAGGGACCGACAGCGUCACAGCGACAGGACGCGGUGUCACAUCCCGACCCUUAAAUUUUUACCUUAUUUACUAGCUUGAUUAUAAUAAGAAUUUCACCGUCUCCGUCAAUGAAGUUAUAGUGUAAUUGAUCCCUAGAGGGGUUUUAAGGGACGAUUAUUUCGGAGGAUUUAUUAGUAGGAGAAAAAAGUGACGACGGUAAAAAUGGUAAUUUUAGCUAGUAAAAGGUAAUUUUUAUUGGGGUAUUUAUUUUGUGGUGUUAUUUUGAUGUUGGGUUUAAAUGAUUUGGGAUGGUGGAACCGGUUGGAAAACCCAACCCAUUUUCUUUUCUCCCUCUCCCGGACUCUCUCCCUCUCCCCCGAGCUGUCCCCGACCCGUCCCCGACCCGCCGGCUUGCAGCAGCUCUGUCCGCCGCCGUUCGGCCGCCAGGGACCACCGGACCACCCCUGUUCGGACCCCCGCCACCUCCUCUCCCUCCCCGGUCUAGGGCCUGAGCCUGUAACCUGCCGGAGAGGAGGAAAACCCGCCGGGAAGCUUUUCGCCGGAAACCCCACCUCCGGCCGCCAUAGGUCAGAAUCUUUGGCUCAUCUUGUAGCCCUCAUCAAGGUAAGUAUUCGCUCAAAAGGAAUUAGUCUAAUUCGUUGUUGUUAUGGAGAAAUGUAUAAUUGAAGUUUUUAGGGAUUUAUGGAAGUUUUGGUUCGAUUACCCUAGUUAGCCUUAGAAAUGGACUUUGUGUUAGUUAAGGAAGUUGUUGUGUGUGUUGAGAGGAGUGUUGUGCUAAAUUUUGAGAAGCAUUGGGGUUCGCCGGAAUCCGGCUGCCGGCCGCCGCCGCCGGCGGGGCAGUGAUAAGACGUAUUUGCACACGCAUCAAUUAACCCUGUCAACAAAUCAAUCGUAGUAUAAAGCAAGCAGGGAUCGUUCUAAACCGGGGAUCCAACUACAAGGUAGAUCCAUCUAAUCUAAUGUAAGUAUCGAAAUAAGCAUAUAGGUUUAAAGGUUUUAUGAUUUCGGAACAAUAUUAAUAAUAAAUCCUAAAUUACUUCUAUACAUAUAUACAUGUGAUCAACCAACAUUCAUGCAAACUCAACCAAACAACCAUGCAAGAAUAAAGAAGACGAUUUCUAAUCUCAUUUAAGUCUACACCGUGAGCAAAUAUACAACCUAAAUUUGAUAUGCGCAUAAGUUCCUACGUGGUUCCUAUGACAUAGACCAACUUAGAAUUAGACUACGGGUUUCAUUCAACAUCGCGACACAACAAGCUCGGCUACAUGCUCUACUUAUUGGUCACACACAUAAACUAAUCAUGCAAUUACGUAUCACAUAAAGAAUUUGAUGUGUUUAAGCACAAGUCCAAAUCAAACAUAGGUAGAAAAUCGGUGAAAAACAAAGACAACGCAACUUAUCAACUACGUGUAUCAAAGUCGAACUUUGGAUGAUUAACACAUGCAAUAUCAACUACUUGUAUCAACUACACAUGAUAAUGGAAUAUAGCACCGAAAAUCUUAAAGUAUUUAGACAUAAAACUCACGGCAUAAAACCUCAAAUCAUUGAUUAUAAAUUGUAAACUUUAAUUCAUAACAUGGCUCAAAAAUACUUCUAUCUCAUAGACAAGAAUCGAAACAUACUUAAGCAAAUACCUAAAGCAAACAAAAACAAGAACAAACACAUAGCAAUCCGAAAAUAGAAGAUGAAAUACACUCUCAAAAUAUCCCUACUUGUUCUAUUCUUCGAGUGCGCGGAGUCCUAGGCUACGUGCUUUGGACGAAUGCUGAAGGUGGGAUCGGAUUGUGGUGUUUGGAGGUUGAUGGAGUUUCGGCAAAGGCUUUGGUGUUAUUUGCACGGGUUGAUGAUGAUCUUCUGUCCUUGAAGUCGUGCUUUAUAUAGAGGAAAAACCCUAGAGAAGUCGGCCACAAAGCCUAAACCAAAUUGGUUUAGGAUUCCUAGUUUUUCUCCCUUUCGGCAGAAUGACCUCCGUCUGAUGAUUGCGUCAUAACUCCCUCUAGAAAAUAGAUAUUGAGGUGAUUCCAAUUGAUUUGGAAACUAGACUCCUGUAGCAUUCUAUCCAUAUCUGGCACGUUUUCUGAUUCAUUGUGAGCUGUCCUGGAGAGUCUGUUGAAGUUGACAGACGUGCACAGGAAUUCUCCCGAUUUAAUCCGGAUUUUCAAGGGCUUGGAUAUUCUUGAAAUUCUGCCGAAUUUAGAUCUUCUUCUCCAUAUUGGACUUGGUUUGGACCUCUCCUUCAUGGACUAGGCUUCGAGGAAAGAUGGAAUCUUGAUCAAGACAGGAAUCCUGAGUAAACAAGGGUUUCCAACACUCAGCACAAUUUCAACACCAAAUUAUUCAAAUUCGAAAAUACUAUGUAUUCUAAUACUAAAAACUACAUAUUUCUAAAUUAAGCAAUUAUUCUACACUAAACACAAAUAUAAAGCUAAAACAACUAAAUAGGAGUUAACAAAGGGUAAAUAAAGGGUAUAAACAUAUUAAGAACGUCACACUUUGUGCUCCUAUCAGGCAGCCGGCGUUGCCGCCCCUUAGGGGCAGUUUUUUUCAUGUUUUUGGGUUUAUUUUCAUGAGAGAAGUUUAAUGAAGUAUAAUUUGGAAUUUUUGGACGAGUUUUGAUAAGGUUUGGGAUUUUUCAUUGGUUAAGGUUUGUGGUGGUUGUUAAAUUGGAAUUUCGGCAGUUGGUUUAGCAGGUUUAAAGUCUAAAAAAGUUAAAUUAUGGUUUUCGGUAAGUGCGGAGUGAUGUGAGUCUUGCUAGAUUAAAAAUGGAGAAGUUGGGCAAGAGAGAUGAAAUUAUAGGCUCCAUUUUAUUUCAGAAAUUUUAUAAAAGUUUUAUCCUAGUUUGGAGGCUUAAUAAUUAUUUGGAACAGGACAUGAGGAGGCUCGAAUUGGAGAGACCUCGGAUUGACGUCAGGCUUAGGCCUAAAGUUGUGAGUGGAUGUUCGUUUUAAAUUAUAAGCAUGCGGUGAUUUCAUUUUAAAUGAAUGAUUUUAUUGAAUAUCAAUUUGUGGAAUUGUUUAUUUUCGCGAAGUUAUUUUUGGAAGUAAAUGCUCUUAUUUUAUUUUGUUAACUUCGCUAUUUGGAAAGUUACCGGAAAUGAGAUUUUCGGUGUAGCCAUAUAUUUAUUGCUUCUUUUGCAAUUGGCGAUUUUUAUUAUUUUUGAAGAGUUACCGAAAAUGAGAUUUUCGGUGAGUAUGUAUAUAUAUAUCCAUAUUUGGAUGAUUAUGAGAAUAAUAUGUAUAUGAAGGAAUGCUAGCUAGCUAUACGUGCUUUUCCACCAUACUGAGGUAAAAAUUCUAUUAUGGUGCGACGUGAGCGUUAGACGGAAGCGUCGUAGCCUUGUGUGAAUUUUCUAUUUGUCUUGGUUGUUUCAAGAAAAUUCAUACAAGGGAUAUGACGAGUGUAAUACAUACAUAUUUUAUUUUAGCCUGAGAGGCUGUAUAUUUUUGAGCUUUGGAGACUGGCCGGAGCUAGUCAUGAAAUUGCCAGUUUUUGUGUUGAGCGUUUUUGAGCUGUCGCAUGCAUCAUAUUUUCUAUGGAAAUGUAAUUGGGAAAGCAUAAAUAUUUUCAUUAAAUUUAUGUUUUUGUCCACUCACUCUAACGUGUUUCAAAUGUUUUCCCCUGGGCCCUUCGUUUUAAAAAUGCCCAGCUUGCAGGUUAGCUUAGUUGAGGUCGGGCGUACCUGGAGAUGUGGCAUAGUCAUCAUAUAGCUUCCGCUUGUUAAUUUAUUUUGUUUCCUUUCUUCCUGUUAGAGUUGCUCUGAACCUAUAAAUGGUUGGAUAUGAGAUUUGUUUAGAUUAGUAAAUUUUGGGUGGUGUUGUGAUUUAGGGAGCACGAAGGCUCCAGGAGUAGAGGAUUAUAAAUGGAUUCUUUUGAAGUGUAUGCAGGUAUUAUUAGGAAGGGUUGUCCAUUUUCAAAGGAGGUUAUGCCGAAUUUUUCGUUAAACUUUCCUUGGAGGUGGUCCCCGCAGGAUUUACUUCGGGUUUCAAGGUGAAAUUCGGGGUGGGUCUUGACACGUGGAGCAGGCAGAGAACCGAAAGAAGGCAGUAGAGAAACCAGAGAAAGCAAACAGAACGCAGAGAGAGGGAAAAACAGAGAGCGACCAAACUGAGAAUGGAGUGAGAAUGAGUGAAGACAAAAAAGGGGGGAAGAGUUUAUACAGAGGCAGAGAGCAGUCACCUCGGUCCACGAACCGACGCAUUAAAAAACCAGUAAACAAAAAUGAGGCCCCCCUAGCCAUUCGGUCAAACCGUAGGAUGGUGCCACGUGGCUUAACCGCCGUAGCUUCUUGAAGAAGGAAAGAACGAAGUGAUGUGCAUUAAUUGUUUGGCAGUUAUCCCUAAGAAUAUCACGACAUCUAACGAACAUGCAUUUAAUGCACCUGCCACAGCAAUGCACAAACUUCAAAAGGAAAGACCCAUCUCGGGUGAGAGUCACCAAGAUCGUAAGACCCAAUAUAAGACCCAUCUCGGAUGAGUCACCGAGAUCGUACCACCCAAUAUAAGACUCAUCUCGGGUGAGACCCACCGAGAUCGUAAGAUCUAAUAUAAGACCCAUCUCGGGUGCGAGUCACCGAGAUCGUAAGAAUCAGUGCCAGACUUAUCUCGGGUGAGAGUCACCGAGAUCAUCAUACCAAGUAAAAGACCCAUCUCGGCUGUGUGUUACCAAGAUAUAUUCAUUCGACCGAAAGGCAUAAGUUCAAAAGGCAUAAGUUCAAUAUCAUCCGUUUAAAAACGGAGAAAGUGGCUUGAUAAACCACGUAUGGCAUUAACACCCCGUCACUCGAGUAGUAACAUAGGAUAUGGAAAGGGCUCGCUACCUUUGCCCAUGAAAAUGUAACACCCGUUCAACCCACAUCAUGAGUCCGGACUUAGGGGGACUAUGGGCGGGACCCACUUGAAAACCACUGGUCUACAGGCUUAUUUUAGCAAGUCCCUACUCAAGAUGUGUCUUGAACGGGAACUUGAGGGGACUUGUAGUCAGUUGUGCAUAAAACAAUCUCCUAAGCCCGUAAACCAGCAGGCAUUCCACCACAACCGAGGUCGCCCCGAGGUUCCCGCCCAUAAAUCGGGUGGGCCGGGCCCUACCUCGGUGGCAGCAUUGGGCCGGGAACGGUUUCAGAAGGCAUAAGGGAGUUGGGUGUUUUAUGUAACAGCAAAGGCAGUUGUCCCACAUCGGUUUUCAAGUAAAGAGAACCCACUCUGGGCCAUAAAUAUGGCCCAGCCACCAGCUUGUCAGGUAUGAUUAACUACCCUUAGUAAUUACAUUCAACCACCAAAUACUGACUUAACCUUCGGAGGAGGAAAGACCGAAAGCCCCCGGUCAUCUUUGUUAUUACAGGUCAACAAGAGGAUAGUCUAUCAUUCGACGAACACGCAAUCAGCUUCUGCAACCUCAUCCAGGAUUGUACAUAAACAGUUGGGAAUUGCCUUCUUCUUCUAUCUUCUUCGUUUUUCUGUGCUGUAAUAUAUUUUUCUGGCAAUCAGUGACCGGAAAAAGUCCGACGACGAGAAUCCGGUGAAAAAAUCCAGCGAUCGGAAAAAAUCCGGCAACCGAAUACCAGAAUCCGGUGACCAGUGAGGUUCCAGCCAAGUUUUCUCUCUCUCCCAUUUUCUCUCUCUAUGCAUCUUUAAAAGGUGAGGGCAAAAUAGUCAUAAAUUAAUAAUGUUUGUUAAGACUUUAAGUAAAGAUUUGUGCGUUUGGGUAUAAAAUAAGUUACCUUAUAUUCAAAUGGGUUCUUAAAAAAAAUAUUCAUUAAAAUGGGCGAUGAGGAGCUAAAAUUAAUAUUAAAUUGGCAUUUUCUCAAUAUAUUAUCAUAGUUGGAUAAAUUAGUUGACUAAACGUCUCUAGUUAUCCACUUUACGUAAUCAUUAGAAUUUAUGCAAUUAUCGGUAGGUAAAAUGUAUAUUUUAAGACUUCUAGUUCCACCAUGUUAGUUUUCUAACCAUAACCUAAUUUAGAUUAACUAAGUUAUUAUGAAGAUGAUGAUGAGGUGAAAAUUAUAUUUAGAUAUAAGGUUGGUUAGUGUGGAACCCCUAUAUCUAGAGUUCGAGGAUCAGCUCCCACCAACUUGUGGUCAACAAGUUUAAGAGGCCUUUAGAUUCGUGUGCCUUCAAUAGAAGAUUAGUCUUCCAACUGUGAUUAUGCAAGUAUGCAACAACUUUACGCAAAGAUUCUUUUAGGGUAUGAAUUCGAUCAUGGAGACCAUAUGUCACAUCUCGACCCUUAUAUUUUUACCUUAUUUACUAGCGUGUUUAUAAUAAGAAUUUUACCGUCCCGAUCAUUGAGUAAAUAGUUUAAUUGGUCCCUAGAGGGGUUUCGGGGACGAUUAUGUGCGGAGGAUAAUUCGUAUGAGGAAAAUACGACGACGGUAAAAAUGGUAAAUUUUAGCUAGUAAAAGGUAAUUUUUAUUCGGGUAUUAUUUUUCGGGGUGUUUUUAUUUUUGGAAGUUUGGGUUAAGUGUUGUGGACUGGGUUGGGGUGAGGCCCAAAACCUUUUUUCUCUUCUUCCUCUCUCCCGAUUUUCUCUCCUCCCACCCGGUUUUCCCCUCUCUACACCCAGAAGAAUUUCCGGCCGCCCUCCCGCCGCCGUCCGGCCUCCGUUCGCCGCCGGACCGGUCCCGUUCGGUCGGUCUCCCUCCCAGCUUCCAUUCUAGGCCGGUAGCAGCCCCCCUAGCGCCGCCGUGAGAGAGCGGUGCCGCCCGAAAGCAAAGGCUAUCCCGAACUUCCCUUCGCCGGAACUUCCUCCUCCGGCCACCAAUCCGGGCAAGCUUGGUACGGUUUUGUAGCCCUCCUCCCGUACAACAACCCCUCCAAGCAGCUCCCUCCCUCUUGAGCUAGGUAAGGAGAAAUGUGGAGUUGAAAUUUCUAGGCUUUUAAGUUAUUUUCGUUCGAUUAGCCUAGUUAGGCUUGGAAUUGGGUGAUGUGUUGGUCAUGAAAGUUGUAGAGGAGAUUGAGAGGAAGAUUCUGUUAAAAUUUGGUAGCAUUUGCAGGUCGCCGGAGUUGGUCGCCGGCCGCCGCUGCCGGCGGAGCCGCCGGCGGCGCCGCCGCCGGUUAGGAGAUUUUUAUGGUUUUAAAUGUGGAAUAUUAAGAGGAGUAUAUUGGUGUGAUUUAUGGAAUUUUGGGAGGAGAUUUGGAUAGGUUUGUGAAUUUCCAAAGUGUGGUAUUUUUGGCGGGUAAUUAAUGUAGAAUCCGGCCGUAGGAUUUAAGUCGUAUUUUGGAGAGGUUGUAUUUACGACUGUUGAGUUUGAUAUUUAAGUUCGGAUCGUUCCGAUGUAAGAAUAUCGAAGUUAGGCAAUGAUGAGCGUAAUUAUGGCUCUCGGGUAAUUUUGCCUAUUUUGAUUAAAUAUUGGAUUAUUUGGUUGGGAAUUAAUAUUAUAUUUGGAACAGGACGUGAGGAGGCUCGAGCAGACGAGACCCCAGAUCGACAUCAGGCUUAGGCCUAAUUUGUGAGUGGACUCUUAUUUGAAAUAAUAUGCAUGCUAUGGUUCAUGAUUGAACAUUUCCUUUUGUUGGAGUUUUGACGUCAAUUAAUUUUGACGCUUUUAUUUCUCUGAGAGAGAGUUACCGAAAAUGGGAUUUUCGGUGAAUAUAAAUAUGAAUAUAUGAGAGAGUAUGUAUAGAAAAUGCUAGCUAGCCAUAUGUGUCUGUCCACCUUAAUGGCGUAGCAUAUAGCCGCAUUAUGGUGUGACGUGAGCGUUGGACGUAAGCGUAGUAGCCCUAUUUGAGUGUUUAAUUCAUAUAGGGGGUAUGGACACAUAUUUAUACACCCGUCUGUCCACCUUGAUGGCUAGUGUAGCACCGCAUUAAGGCGUGACGUGAGCGUUGGACGCGAGCGUAGUAGCCCUAUAUAGACCCAUGAAUUUAUAUAGGGAGUAUGGACGAGUGUAAAUACAUACAUAUAUUAUAGAGUCUGAGAGGCUCGAUAUUUUAUGGGAUAAAAGUUUUAUCGCUUGCGGCAUGCAUUCGAUUUUUCCUUAGAAAUUAAUUUGGGGAAACAUAAAUAUUUUAAUUAUUAGUUUAUUUUUGUCCACUCACUCUAACGUUAUUAAAUGUUUUCCCCUGGGCCCUUCGUUUUAAAUUGCCCAGUCUGCAGAGUUCGGGUUGGAUCUAGUAGGAGACGAGGCAUAGUCACCCGCUUUUCUGCCAGUUUUCGCCAGUAGGUUACCUGUUCAACCUACUCGUGUUUUCUUGCUUCCGCUUGUGUUUAGUAGCUCUGAAUACUUUAGAAUUUUUGUAUAUUAUGUGUUAAAUUAAGAGUGUGAUAUUAAUUUUCGAGUUAGGGUUGUCCAUCUGCAAGGGAGAUUUUCUCAAUCUUUUCAGUAAAUUUUCCUUGGAGGUGGUCCCCGCACGACUUAUUCUGGGUUUCAGGGUGAAAUUCGGGAUGGGUCGUGUCACCAUAUAAAUCACAAAUACAUUAUGACUUGCGUAGAACGUUGUAAAGUCAUUGAAGAUGAGAUAGGUUGAGGGAAAAUGAAACACAUUAUGACAUGCAUCUCUCAAUGUAAUUUCCACUUCAUAACUUAAUUAGUUGAUUUUUUGUAUAGAAUUAACAAGAUUUAGUCACAGCAUCUCCAGUUGCAUAAGAUUACACGACCCUUACUUCUAAUUUCCAGUAAUGCAUGUUAAACCUAUAUGUUACAUAUCUUGAACAAGUAAUAUCCAUCAUGAUAAUUUCGUUUGUGCAAAGAAAAAGAAAAAGACAAAAAAAAGGGAAAAAGCCCUAAUGCACAAAAUAGAAAAAGUCAAACCCCAUUUCAAUGAUAAUCUUUUUUAUUAGCCCAUUUAAAUACAAGGUACUUAUUUUAAGCCCAAAUACACAAAUCUUUAUUAAAAUAUAAUAAAAUUAUAUUUUUAAAGACUUUUUUACCCUUAGCUUUUACUUAAAGAGAAAAAGUGAAAAAGAUGGAGAGAAGAUUUUGCCGGAAGCACACCGGGCUCCGGCGCCAGUCACCGGCGGCCGCAUUCCGGUCGCCGGACUCCGAACUCCGGCCGCCGGAAUCCGGUCACCGGUGACCGGAAUUUUCCGACGACCAGAAAAUUGCCUAGUAAACUUUUACUACCCCCAGUAAUCCUUUUUACUACCCCUAGUAAACUUUUAUUNNNN
This 55443-nucleotide long non-coding RNA is filed under the name Fragaria vesca (wild strawberry). RNAcentral describes it as "long non-coding RNA (FVES_LNC002228)". Lineage: Eukaryota; Viridiplantae; Streptophyta; Magnoliopsida; Rosales; Rosaceae. The record is from RNAcentral.